RNAcentral lists this long non-coding RNA (78048 nucleotides) under Triticum aestivum (bread wheat). RNAcentral describes it as "long non-coding RNA (TAES_LNC004171)". The stretch from base 72207 to 72321 matches the Rfam family "MIR1120/MIR1122 microRNA precursor family". The record is from RNAcentral. Lineage: Eukaryota; Viridiplantae; Streptophyta; Magnoliopsida; Poales; Poaceae.
UUUUUUUUUUUUUUUGUAUAUGGAGCAACUUUAUGACUUGCAUGAUGCAAUUGUAGAUCUGGUUGCGCCGCAUUCAGUUUUCUCUCACUCAAGGCAAGGAUGUUGAAUACAUCAAAUCUGUCGUAAACCGUGCGCUUCUUAGUCUACCACAAAGCAAGCGUAUAAAGUUUCUAACGCAGACUGCUAUCCUGGAGUUCAAGUGUGGGGUGGCUGAGGAAGGGAGAUCCAGAUUUGAGCUGAUCCUAAGGGAGUAUCCGAAAAGAACAGAUAUUUGGAGCGUUUACCUAGACCAGGUAAUAUUGCAUUAGCAAACCGUCAACCUGUCUGUUAUUCUGUCAACUUUACCAGUCUCAUUGACAAGCAUGAUUUCUUUUAGGAAAUUCGACUUGGUGACACCGAAAUAAUACGGGCAUUGUUUGAUAGGGUGACAUGCCUUAGUCUACCUCCAAAAAAGAUGAAGGUUUGGCUCAUUCUUUGUAUAUUCUACUCAAAACACGAACAUUAUCUCUCUUCACUGCUAUCUGUCCCUGCCCUGCAUAAUAUCUCUUGCCAUUCAGAAUUUGAUGCCAUCGCUUGCUUUAUUACCGUUCCCUGCAUUGAUAUAAGUUUUUUGAUGCCAUGGUCGUCAUUUACAGUUCUUGUUCAAGAAAUACCUGCGAUACGAGAAGGCUCAGGGCGAUGAAGAAAGAAUCGAGCAUGUGAAGCAGAAGGCAAUGGAGUACGUUGAGAUUUCUAGAGCCUGAUUUGCAAAAGACAUGCGGAGGCACUGCUCCUGCUCCUGCAAUGCGCGGGAGGCGUCUGCUUGCCGGGGAUUCAUGCAAUCGUUUAUUGUGACCUGCAGCCUGGGUUUGCUUCUAAUGAGACGUCUACAUUCUUAUUUUUACGCUGAGGUUGUGCAGAGAAUGUGCCAGUCAGGGCUGCAGCUUUUAUGCAGACUGCAGUCCGCCAAUUUUGGUGUUGUUACACUUGUGAUGUAUGUAUUGCUAUUAAUAGGAAAGAUAGAUGACUAUUCAAUUUUGUUUCAAACACCUCACUAACUAUUCGAGCUGUUGGGAUGUGUUUUGAAUUUGUGAACUCAUCGUUAGAAAUUGUGAGUGGGGACUGAGAAGUUUCUUCGCUAGCCUUGGAAGUGCACCAUAGUGUCAAAUGUUACUACGUUCUGACGUUGAAAGAAUGCUGCUCUCUCCGUCUCUUAUACAUAAUAAGUGUCGUGGUUUAAGUUCAAAUUCCAUAAAUGAGUGUGUGGUUUUAGUUCAAAUUUGACUAUUAAUAGUUGUGUACUUAAAAAUAUAGAGAAACUCUUGUGAACUUUUUCAUCGUUUUGGGAUUUUCACCAUGAGCUAAUUCAAUUGUUUUCAUACUGGUAAAGACUGGCUUGGCUUGGCUAGGGCUCUGGGCCUACUCUUCCGGCGAAGCUUGCCUUGACAGCUUGACGCACUUCUGUUUUUUUACUUUCCAUCACCAAAACACUAGCAAAUCACAGUUAUAUAGUAUCACAAUGGAUAAUACAUAUUUUAGUGAUCCUUCAGUCCAAUAUAGUACUGUUCAUAAUUAACAUCUCUUGUCUAAUGUUCGAUGAUACCUUUUGUGAUUUAUAAGGAAAACGCUGGCCUUCAGCCGGCGGAUCCGUCGUCUCGUACGUGCGAUGCGUGGCUCACCUUGAAUUAUCUCUUGAACUUUUGUAAUUGAGCUCUUAUUGCAGUUUGCCCACCAAAACUGCUAUACGUACGAUUCUUUUUAAUCGGACACUGCUACGAUCAGAGAGCAGAUGCUAUGGUCCACAAACUGAUAAUCUGUGAUUUGUCUCUAAUCGUACUGAGUGUUGGACGAAAAUUCAUCGUACGUAUAGCAAGGUUCUUUGCCCACCACAACAACUUAUGUGUUGUAGGAUCUGGAUCCUUGAGGGUUGUUGCCCGCGCAGCCGAGGCACCCUGCUGCCGCUCCCUAUCUUCCUCUCGCUACACUUGUUGCCCCGCUGCAUCUAACGGCACUGCCCCUGCGACGUCACCGAUGCCGGACCGAAGCUCCAUGGAAGCGAUCGGGCUCGCCUGUCGCCGGACUCUACCGCCGCGGUCGAGCUGUGCUUGGCUGCCACCGCCUGGAUCUGCUUGUCCCCAGCCCUUCUUUGCACCUCACCGUUCGUCCCGUGUCGCCGGCAUGUGUGUUGCCGCCGAUUACCAGUUCGCCGCCUCUAUCUGGGAAAAAGAAUACUGCAACAUCAUCUUUGUUGCAAAAAAAUUUCUGCAACAAGAACUAUGUUGCGAAAAAUUCUGUAACAAGUCCUCUGUUGCAAAAAAAAAAUCUUGUUGCAAAAUAAUUCUGUAACAAGACCUUUGUUGCAUUUUUUUUGCAACAUCACCUCUGUUGGAAAGGUUUUUACAACACGGCGUAUGUUAGAAAUGUUUCUGCAACACCACUCUUAUUGCAAGAGAGGUGACACACAUGGAUGAGUAGAUCGGACGGCCCCCCGCAUCAAUCCAACGCCCAACGGCGAAUAUUUUCUAGUUAUCGGUCAGCUGAUGCGUAGUAGCCCCUAAUUUAUAAUGCAUGUCUAAUUAAUAUGUGUAAUUAAUUGCUUGACUAAUUAAUUUCAUGCACUAGUGGACGAGGCAGAGAUUGGGCAAAAGACAAUUGGGAUGAAUUUUGGGCUGCGCUACACGUCGGCCGGUGGAUUAGUUAAAAACAUCCGCCGCCUGGCUGGCCGUUGGAUGGACGCGCUGCUGGCCGUCCAAUGUACCACCCACGUUCCCCACCUCCCUUUUGCAACAAGUGCGGUGUUGCAGAGACAAGGGUCGUGCUACGCGUCUGUCGGUUGAAGUUCGGGAAGGUUCGACCACCUCCCACGCCGUUAGAUCUUCCCACGUGAGCGUCACAAAUUGCAACAAGCUAGUUGUUACGGUCAUCUCUCUACAACAACGACUUUGUUGCAAACCACACUGAAGAGUUAUCGUGUGACUUCACGAAUUGCAACAAGUUGGUUGUUGCUGAAACAAAGACUUUGUGCGGAGACGUGAUGUAACUUUUGCAACAAUGGUUUUGUUGCAGAAAUUUUUGCAAUUGUGGUGAUGUUGCAGAAAAAAAUGUCUCCACUUUUAUGCAACAAAGGCAAUGUUGCAGAAUUUUUUUUGCCUUCACAUUCAUGCAACGUAGGUGAUGUUGCGGAGCAAGUUUCGCAACAUUACAGAUGUUGCGGAAUUUAUUUGCAAUGAAUAGGGUUGGCCAGGUAGUAGGGACCAAGCACGUGCACCAAGUCUUCAUGCGAGUCACGCGCCCUCACGAUCCAGUGGACCAAUGGGCCGCGAUCUGACGGCCGCGCGAGCGACGGAUGCAGCGAGAAAGAUCGGCAGGUUGAUUGAAAGAUUUUCCAUGUUUUUUUGGUGCAUGCGAACGAAUGAAACGACUACACGACCCCCUUUAAUAAUUGUAAUAUGCAACAAUCCAAAAAAUAGUCUAACAAGAAUUAAAAUCCAUACAUGAUUCACACCAUUAUUGAGUCACAAGUGCAAUAAGAUAUCCCAAGCAACUAGCAAGUGAAGGAAUAAAAUGUGCACCAACACACACAUGCGAAUAGCAGUACAUAAAACAUUGGUAUCAAAUUCUCAGCCAUAAAAAGGACCGGGCCAACAAAACAUAAGAGCACACAUAAGGGCCCCUUUGAUUUGUAGGAUUCAAAACGCGAGAAUAGGAAAAACAUAGGAUUAGAAUGUCAUACUCAUCUCAAUUCUACAAGAUUCUGGAUUGUUUGAUCACUUCAUAGGAAAAAUAAAUAAUUCUUUCUAACAUGUUUGAGUGGAUGCUAGAAAUCCUAUGAGAAGUAGUACAAAGAAAUCCUUAGAUUUUUUUUCUAUAAGAUCUAAUCCUAUGAGUCAAACAACCAAUGUACGAAAAAUUCCUAACGGUUAUAAUCUUGCAAGAUUUCUAACAACAUUCUCUAAAUCAGAGGAGCUAUAAGAGAAGUUUUUUAUUAUUAAAACUGGACACUUCACUAUGAAAGAACAAUAAUGUGCAACUCGCCCUGCCUUAACAAGGCGAAUGACUAACAACAUGGUCCCAACACAAAGGAUCAUAUAUACUCCUUGCAUCUGAGCAUCAAUUUGUACCAACUCAUGUGCUACACAAUCUGGAGAGCGCCUGCAUGCUUUUUUUACACAGGAGGAAAACACAUAUAACAUUUUUUUUUGAGAAAUCACCACUUUAUUCAAAAAUGUAUAGUGAGGUAAUGGAGGAGGCGCUCGCGCACAAUCGUGUUCGCCAGGGAGGGCUCCUCCUCCUCCACGGCCUUGCCGUGCCAGUUGUGGCGUGACGGUGACACCGACCGGUCGUAAGUGCUGCGGAGCAGGGAAGGAGGCUCCUCUUUGAUGCGGCGUCCGAUNNNNNNNNNNNNNNNNNNNNNNNNNNNNNNNNNNNNNNNNNNNNNNNNNNNNNNNNNNNNNNNNNNNNNNNNNNNNNNNNNNNNNNNNNNNNNNNNNNNNNNNNNNNNNNNNNNNNNNNNNNNNNNNNNNNNNNNNNNNNNNNNNNNNNNNNNNNNNNNNNNNNNNNNNNNNNNNNNNNNNNNNNNNNNNNNNNNNNNNNNNNNNNNNNNNNNNNNNNNNNNNNNNNNNNNNNNNNNNNNNNNNNNNNNNNNNNNNNNNNNNNNNNNNNNNNNNNNNNNNNNNNNNNNNNNNNNNNNNNNNNNNNNNNNNNNNNNNNNNNNNNNNNNNNNNNNNNNNNNNNNNNNNNNNNNNNNNNNNNNNNNNNNNNNNNNNNNNNNNNNNNNNNNNNNNNNNNNNNNNNNNNNNNNNNNNNNNNNNNNNNNNNNNNNNNNNNNNNNNNNNNNNNNNNNNNNNNNNNNNNNNNNGAGGGAGGCGUCAGACCGUGACCGCUCAAGGACUCCAAGUGCGCCUGGUACUCCUCAUUCGUCAUGGCGGCCUCCGUGAGGAGCGGCGGAUCCUCCUCGUCGCUGAAGGAGAGCAUGAUCUCCUCCAUGUCUUCCAAUGUCGGAGGAGGAAGGGUCCGGAGAAUGUGGCCUACGACGCCAAGAUCCGUCGAAAGAGUCGAAUCCACCCGCCGGUGCAGAAAACCAACCUUUGUGGCCAGACUUUCCCACCGUGGAGGAGAUGAGAGGAGUGACGACGGUGGUGAGCCGAGAGGAGAGGAGCUCCUCGGCGGAUGUGCAGAGGAUACAAAAUGUGCUUUGGCCGACACUCUGUUUGAAUAGUUGGGGCAUGUAAAAUGACGCCGAUUCAAUGCAACAUAACGAUCGGAAUAGGCUUCUCGGUCGCCGCGUCCGCAUUAAAGCGGCGUCGUCCUCCCACGCGAUCGCGUCUCUUUGAUCGGUGUCGAGGCCGUCGAGUCGCGUCCGCUAUAGAGCGCCGAACCAGCCAAACCAGCACGAAUGCGCGGUGAUCAUUCUAGAGCGGGACGCAUGGCGCUGAGUUUGAUGCUAGUUUGCACGAAUUCGGACACGGCGAUCUGAGGGACGGGCGUUGGAUGCCUUCUUCUGAAUGUAACCUGGCAUACUCGUUGGAACGCUGCCAAGAUCCCAUAUUCCUGAAUGUAAACAUAAAUCCCAUAGUAUUCCAUAGCGCAGACCUAAAUUGAACACGCUCCCGCAACUGUAACGGCUCCCCUCGCGCGCCGACCGUCCCGCCUCCGCCGCCGCUCAUCGUCGUCGUCCUCCUCCUAGCCGACGUCCGGCUUCCGCCUCCGCAACUCCUCCUCUCCCUAGCCGACGUCCCUCCGCGGCUGCUCCUCUCCCAUCUCGCCGAUGUCCCGCCCCCGCCUCCGCCACUGCUCCUGCUUCACCACGCCCAUGUCCCGCAUCCGCUUCCGCCGCCGCCUCUCCUCUUCCACCUCACGACCCACACCCUCCUGGUCUCCCCGCGCCGCCUUUGCGGCGGCCACGGAGCGCGUCCGCGACGGAACGCUCAGCCCGCAAGACGCACACCACCUGUUCGACGAAUUGUUUCAGCAGGCCACCCCGGUCCCCGACCGCCCCCUCAACGGAUUCCUUGCCGCCCUCACCCGUGCCACGCCCUCCGAGGCCUGCAGAGACGGCCCUGCUCUCGCCCUCUCCCUCUUCAACCGUGUCUACCGAGAAGAAGCCGGCAUGCGGGUGGCGCCGCCGACCAUCUUCACCUACGGCGUCCUCAUGAACUGCUGCUGCCGCAUGCGUCGUCCGGAACUUGGGCUCGCCUUCUUCGGCCGCCUCCUAAGGACGGGCCUGAAGGAAGACAAGAUCGUCGCCAACACUGUCCUCAAGUGCCUGUGCUGCGCUAAACGGGCAGACGACGCUGUGAAAGUGCUGCUUCAUACGAUGACCGAGCUGGGGUGUGUGCCUGAUGCCUUCUCAUACGCCAUUGUCCUGAAGAGCUUAUGUGAUGAUAACAGGAGCCAGCAGGCGCUCUACCUGCUCCGGAUGAUGGCGAAAGAAGAAGGUGUGUGCUCCCCUGACGUGGUCACAUAUAACACCGUCAUUCAUGGCUUCUUUAAGGAAGGAAAAAUAGGCAAGGCCUGCAAUCUAUUCCAUGAAAUGACGAAGCAAGGGUUUGUGCCUAAUGUGGUGACAUAUAACUCGGUUAUCAAUGCAUUGUGCAAGGCCCGAGCAAUGGACAAUGCAGAGUUGUUCCUUCGGCAGAUGGUUGAUAACGGCGUUCAACCGAAUAAAGUGACAUAUACUAGCAUGAUCCAUGGAUAUUCCACUUUGGGCCAGUGGAAAGAGGCGACUAAACUGUUCAGAGAAAUGACAAGCAGUGGUCUUAUACCAGAUAUUGUCACUUGGAACUCGUUCAUUGACUCCCUUUGCAAGCAUGGAAGGAGCAAAGAAGCUGCAGAAAUUUUUCAUUCCAUGUCUGCAAAGGGCCACAAGCCUGAUAUCAUCUCCUACACCACUCUUCUUCAUGGGUAUGCCAAUGAAGGAAGCUUUCCUGAUAUGAUGAGUCUCUUUAAGUCAAUGGAAGGCGACGGUACUGUAGCCAACUGCCAAUUUUUCAACAUAUUAAUUGAUGCAUAUGCUAAACGAGGAAUGAUGGACGAAGCUAUGCUCAUAUUUACUGAAAUGCCAGGACAAGGAGUCAAUCCAAAUGUAGUCACCUAUUCAACUGUGAUAGCUUCACUUUGCAGAAUGGGUAGGCUGGCUGAUGCAAUGAAUAAGUUCAGUGAGAUGAUUGGUACGGGAGUACAACCGAACACAGUUGUUUAUCACUCCCUAGUUCAGGGCUUAUGUACACAUGGUGAUUUGGUGAAAGCGAAGGAGUUGAUUUCUGAAAUGAUGAAUAAAGGUAUUCCUCGUCCAAACAUUGCAUUCUUCAGUUCAAUAGUACACAGUCUAUGCAAAGAAGGAAGGGUUAUGGAUGCACACCAUAUCUUUGACUUGGUUAAAGACAUAGGGGAGAGAUCUGACAUCAUUAUGUUUAAUACGCUGAUUGAUGGAUAUUGCCUAGUCGGUGAGAUGGGCAAAGCAGUCAGUGUACUAGAUGUCAUGAUAUCAGCCGGCAUUGAGCCUGAUAUCUUUACAUAUAAUACACUUGUCAAUGGUUAUUUUAAGAGUGGAAGGAUCGAUGAUGGGUUGAAUCUGUUCAGAGAAAUGUCACAUAAGAAAAUUAAACCUACAACUGUUACAUAUAACAUCAUACUGGAUGGAUUAUUUCGUGCUGGGAGAACCGUUGCUGCCAAGAAAAUGCUCCAUGAGUUGAUCGGAUGUGGAACAACAGUGAGCUUGUCCACAUACAACAUAAUUCUUAAAGGACUUUGUAGAAAUAAUUGCACCGACGAAGCAAUCGUCAUGUUCCAGAAAUUACACACAAUUAAUGUAAAGUUCAAUAUCACAACACUCAAUACCAUGAUUAAUUCAAUGUACACUGUUCAGAGAAGAGAAGAAGCUAAAGAUUUGUUUGCUGCAAUAUCAGACAGCGGGUUGGUGCCCAAUGCCUCUACAUACGGCAUAAUGAUACGAAAUCUUCUAAAAGAAGGAUCAGUGGAAGAAGCUGACAGUAUGUUCUUAUCAAUGGAGAGGAGUGGUUGUGCUCCUUGCUCUCGUCUUUUAAAUGAUACUAUUAGAACGUUAUUGGAGAAGGGGGAGAUAGUCAAGGCCGGAAAUUAUAUGUCUAAAGUUGAUGGCAAGAGCAUCUCACUUGAAGCUUCAACUUGUUCAUUGUUGUUGUCUCUGUUUUCUGGGAAAGGUAAAUAUCGUGAACAAAUACAAUUGCUCCCUGUAAAAUACCAAUUCUUCGGUGGAGUUAGUUGAUGCACUGGAAUCAGCAGAUAAGUGUUCGUGUGGUUUGGAGCUCCUCCCUCUCAACGGUGUGGACAAGUGCCUCACCAAGAUUGAGCUGGGUGAUGGUGCCACACUGCCACCAUGGUGUUCUGGUCGGUGCUUAGCUGCUGGGCGUGUAUCCUAUGGACAUCGCUCCUAAAUCCUAAUCUGUACGCCACCUCCACGCAUGGGCCAUCUGGUGUGUGAUGUGUUUGCUAAUGGUAAAAGAUAUCAAGCUAUUUGGAGUUCUCUGAACCUCAGCAUAUCAAGUGUGUUUUGGGCCGAUGGCAGUUAUAGUAAAAUCAAUGAACUAUUCUACAUCAUCAAGCUGUUUGGCGUUCUCUGAACCCCCCAGCACCAGGAGCUUGAUGAUUUUACUACCUGACCGAUCUCGAGGUAUUGAAACCUGUGUACAUAAAGUUUGAACUUUCAUUCAGUCUCCUGUACAUCCUCCAGUUUAUGAUGAAUGGAUAUUUACUCCCAGAAAAGACAGAAUGAGCAUUGUGUAGUGAUCUAAUUUUCUUAUGGUUUUGUAUAUAUACCUUUAGUUGUAGCACUAGCUAAUUAAAAAAAUGUAAGUAUGUCCACAGUUUAUUCUUGUUAUCAUUCUAUUUUUUUCCAGGAAGCUUUCCUCACUUGUAGUAGCAUUAAAAAACUAGAAGUUCCAGCAACAUUAUGCAUUGACAUUUAAUUAGAUAAAAAAACCAUAAAUUAUACCAGCUCCAAUAAUUUGGUAAAGCUGGAUGAUCAGCUUCUGAGAAAGACCAUCAUCUUUUGUAGGCCAUCUAACAAAGCUCAAGGUAAUUUACAUGUCAUCCCUGCUAAAACUGAAAUCAUUCUGAACUCCUUGGGAGAGGCAGAUCACAUCUCUGAAGUAUCUUGGCAUACAUAUUUAGAUUAAAGCCAUACACAGGAGUAUAAAACAUCUCGACAUCAUAACUGAUGAGAGCUCGUUAUUUUCUUGCUAUUUAUACCUUGAGAACAUUGUUUUUCAUCUUGCUAACUGAACCUGCACAUUUUUCUCCAGAUGAAGUUUUUGUGAAGAGAAAGUAAAUUGUUAUCUUGUCAUCCAGUGGAUUGGUUAGUGAAAUUGGCACUUCUGGUCAUCUAACGUUGCUCCAACAUGUACGUUCUAUAAAUAUAUCUUUUCAGACUUCCUCAUAGAACAUAUUCUUGCCUUAGUUGUUAGUCUCUGAAUUAACAGUGCUUGCAUUUCUGGACAUGUAUGGCCAUUGACCCUUCCCCGGACCCUGCGCAAGCGGGAGCUAUAUGCACCGGGCUGCCCUUUAUGGCCAUUGACUGCUCAAUGCUAUGUCUCUUUCUAAACUACAUUAACAAAUUACCAUAGGAACUUAAACUACAUGCUUGUAAAAAGUUAAAAUUAUCUUUGUAUUUUAUUGUUAAACAGUAUUUGUCUGACUUUUUCAAACAUGGUACGCAUGUCAAACCUCGAGUUGAGUUCUUUUUUGUUUUUGAGCUUGAAGUAGUACUCCCUCCGUUCACUUUUGUAAGUCGUUUAGGACAGCUGAAAUUGAACUGUUUUAGGUGGUGUCUUAAAUGUCUAAAACGUCUUCAAAAGUGAAUGGAGGGAGUACUAAACAUCUCAAUGCAAAAGCUCAUUGUGCAAAUCAGGGGAAUUUAUUCUAUCAUACUUAAACCUUUGUUUCUAAGAGCUUCGUGUUACUUUGCAUUUCGAGGGAUCUAUCUCACCUCAAUCUCCCAGGAUCAAUACCUGAUUUUUUGCCAUCACUUAUGUGUAUGUAUGUGUCCUUCCUGAUCUGACUCCGUGUUUCCAAACUGUGCAGCACAGAGCCCCUUAAAUAUGCUAUUUCUUCGUCUGUGAUGUAGAUUCACCCACAAAGCAGCAGUGUGUCAAUCAUGAUUUCGGGAGAAUUCGUCAUGCUGAUAUGGUGCCCUAACCAAAGCCAGGCUGUCAGUCUACAUCUUAUGCAUGGGUUGCACCUGAUAAUAUAUUUAAGGUCUUAAAAGUUUGUAUUAUGCAAUCUCAAUUUUUGUUUAGGAAAUAAUUGCCAAAUUCAGCCCUAGUUACCUACUGCAAGAUUUUUAUGUUUACUGAGCUAAUAUGCUCUUCAGAACUAUUCUUAUUAGGUUACCAAAUUGUUCUCUCAUGUGAUGAGGAACGUGUUUAUCAUACGAACAAGUAUUUGCUUGUCAUUGAACUGGAGGAUUUACUUAUUCUUUUUAUAUAAUUUAGCUAUUGUACUGUAUAAAGUUUACUUGGGCCUUCUUUUUCGGACUGAUAAAUCACGGUGGCUUAAUCCAGUAUAUCCAUUUGCUAGCAUCUGUUUUUUUUUUUGCGGGAUGCUAGCAUCUGUGUUUUACCACCCUGCACAGAGAAUAAGGCCCUGUUCGGUAAUGGUCCGCUCCCGGAAUCUGCGGAGCGGGUGACUGGCAACUCCACCAUUUUGACCUACAGCUCCGCCAACUCCGCUCCGGGAGCUGUGGAGCGGAGCGAUGCCGAACAGCCCAUAAGUUGUCGUUGCCAUCCUAAUCCUAAUCCUAUCCUUCGUUUUCUUCCCUUUAAUUUUCUUUCCCAGUAACUAUUGUUUAAUGCAGCACUGAUCAAUUGUAAAAGUGAGGGUCAUCUCCUUACAUAUUUUCAGGGAGCACAUGCCUCUCUGCCGACCACUUGCAGAAAUGCAAAAAUUUUAUGAGAGCCAACGAUGCCAUCUCAGCGAUGCAGGUCCCUUUGAUCUCUCUGAAGUUGAAAGCUUUUGACUCGGCAUCACAUGGUGUGUGUUUCGAUCUUACCCCGACAAAUGCGAUAUGCUAAAAAAGCAAAAAUGGAAAAAAAUUCACUAAGCUAACACGAGCUAUUUCGGGGGACGCCUCUUGGAGACCCUAGCAGCUAUCGACGCAUUGCUAAAACUUUGUAAUGGUGAUUGGUGCAGAGCUUAUCUUUCACUUACACCAAUACACCAAACUACUUUUGAAACUCAAGCAUUAUGUCAGAUUUGACUCGCCCAGGUUGAUGCGCUUGUUCUGGUGCAUCAGUGACGCUUCCAUCGUUGUCAAUGGCAUUUCGUAUAUCCCGAGAUUGAUUACAAGCGCAACACAGGCUCCACCAAGAGGACCCAAUGUCUCCCUGCUUCCUCAUCUUGGUCGCCGACAUGCUCCAACGCUAAUCAUUAAUGAUGACCACAAUCGAUCACACAUGAAACCCCUUGGCUGAUGAUCUCCCUUGCCCUGUAAUCCAAUUGCUAUGACACCGACUCCAUCUCGCUCCUGUGCGGUCGACGAGCCAUAUCUCCACCGUGUUGUGGUUCUGAUCUUAAAUUCAACAGAAACACAAGAGAACGAGAAGAACAAGGGGAAAUCCCAAUUCAUUAUGGCUAGUUACAUACUGUACAAUGUACUCCCUCCGUCUCAUAAUGUAAGACGCUUUUUGAAACUACACUAAUGUUAAAAAAUGUCUUACAUUAUGGGACAAAAGGAGUAGUAAACAGUAAAAUGGGCAAUUAAAUGAUAGCUCCUGCCCCCUCUUGCGUGCAUCCACCUUGGACUCGAAAAAACACGCGAUUCUCAUCGAGGAGUUGCGGACCAUCGUCGAUGAGCUUUGCCACCAAGGAGGCAUGGUCGCACUCGGCCUUGAGUUGUGCCUUGGCCUAGCAGUGCUCCUUCUCCUCGUCUCGAGAGAUAACCUUAACGGGAGGCACGAUGAAGGCCGUGAAGGGAAGGGAGGAAGUGAAGUCUUGUCCAACUCCUGAAUUAUAGUGGAGUGUCGCUGUGUCGUACGCGUGCCGCCACCUCUGCGGUGUUAGAAGGUGCCAAGCCACACGCGUGCGCCCGUGUCCGGGUUUUGGAACUCCUCGGCAUAGUUGCUCGACGAUUGGUGCCUUACACCCUAGUACGAUGAGGAGGAGCUCGUGGGCAUCUGACACGAAGGUGGAAGCAAUUGCAACAUCCCUUACCAUGAGAAGGAGCUCGAGAGCGGUCGGUGUGGCGAGGAAUUGGGUUGUGGCGGGGAGCUUGGGGGUGGCCAGAAUCGAGCAGGUGGAGCAGAUACGCCGGCGGGGAGCUCGAAUCCGGUGGCAAUCCGUUUAGGCGGCGGGAAUGGGGGCGGGCCUCCGGGCAGCCAAGGGAGUGGUGACAGGGACAGGCGACUAGAUUCGCGUGAGGCAUCCACCGCGGUGGGGAAACUUCAGGGGCGGAAAGAUGCGUUCCCGCAGGCGUGAUUUGCGUUUUAGGUAUUCAGCGGGUGCAGACCCGUAUUUGCCAAGCCUAUAACGGCUAUAAUCCCAAAAAUUAAGUUUUGACCGCCAUGCGAAUUUAGAUAUGAUAUUAGGGCAUCUUCAAAAUUAAGUUUUGACCGCCAUGCAAAUUUAGAUAUGAUAUUAGGGCAUCUUCAAUGGCAUCUCUUAUAUCGUACACACCAUCCUUUUGCUGACGCGGAUAUGAGAGCUAGUCACUCAACUGCGUGCCCAAAAAGUCCGCCGGUAUUUCAAAUGAAAAUUGAACCAAAAGGAAAAAUUUCAUGCAAACCAAAUAAAUUUCAUGCAAACCGCUCAAGGUGCUACUCCCUCCGUUCCAAAAUAGAUGACCCAACUUUGUACUAAAAUUAGUAUAAAGUUGAGUCAUCUAUUUUAAAACGGAGAGAGUAGGUGGUAACCUCGUGUGCAUGGCCUUCCUGGCCGACGGGACCUUCCUCGCCGUCCGCCCUGUCACUGUCGUCAUGGUCCUUCUAGCAAUGAAAGGGCAUGUAUGGGCCAUGGCAACUUGGAUUCGCCACCUCCUACCGCUCGGCUUUCUCCUCCGCCGCCAUGCGCACGACCGUGUCAGCAACGGGCGCCAUCCCGGUCUGCCCGCCCCACGCCUUGCCCUUACCGAUGACGAGGACGGCAGCGCGCAACGAGUUGGCCACACGAAUCUUGACGUGUUAGCCACCCAAUCGAUGAGAGGAACCCUAGCCGUGUUUUCUAUCACACUAGUUGUGAGAAGAGACUCAUUAUUCUAGAUAACGACAUACGGUCGUACAAUUAAUCUUACUCCUUCCACAUCAUAAAUAAAGUGAUGCAUUGCACAGGCCUUCAGUCAAAAUCUUAGAUCUUGACUACAAGUAUCAUUUAAAUUAUUGACAUUUUCAAUUUGAAAAUCAUACAUAUUGAUUUGCCUCAAAAAAUAUUAGAUCUUGGCGUGAUAGAAAAAUAUAGGAGUGGUAUAUGACAGUAUGAUCUGCCUCCACAAGCAAAGCAAAGCAAAGCUAUAUCAGUCCCGUCCCGCCUCCCCCGCCGUCGAUGUCCAGCCUCCACCUCCUCCUUCACUCCCACCCCGCCGCCCUCACGCUCCUGGUCUCCGCACGCCGCCUUUGCCGCUGCUACAGAGCGUGUCCGCGCCGGGACGCUCAUCCCGGAAGACGCACACCACCUGUUCGACCAAUUGCUACAGCAGUCCACUCCGGUCCCCGACCAAGCCCUGAACAGCUUCCUUGCCGCCCUCGCUCGUGCCCGUGCGCCAGACACCGACGCCUGCAGAGACGGCCCGGUGAUGGCAAAGAGGGAAGGAGCCAGCAAGCGCUCGACCUGCUCCAUGUGAUGGCAAAAGGAGAUGGUUGCUCCCCCGACGUGGUGGCUUAUAGCACGGUCAUCUAUGGCUUUUUUAAGGAAGGUGAAGUAGGCAAGGCAUGCAAUCUAUUCCAUGAAAUGAUGCGACAAGGGGUUGUGCCUAAUGUGGUGACGUAUAGCUAUAGAUGCAUUGUGCAAGGCUGGAGCAAUGGGUAAGGCAGAGUUGUUCCUUCGGCGAAUGGUUGAUAACAGUGUUCAACCGGAUAGGGUGACAUAUACUAGCAUGAUCCAUGGAUAUUCCACUUUGGGCCGGUGGAAAGAGGCGACGAAAAUGUUCAGAGAAAUGACAGGCAGGGGCCUUAUACCAAAUAUUGUCACUUGGAACUCGUUCAUGGCCUACCUUUGCAAGCAUGGAAAAAGCAAAGAAGCUACAGAAAUUUUCUUUUCCAUGGCUGCAAAGGGCAAUAAGCCUAAUAUCAUCACCUACGGUAUUCUUCUUCAUGGGUAUGGCAAUGAAGAAAGCUUUGUUGAUAUGAUGAGUCUCUUUAAUUCAAUGAAAGGCAACGGUAUUGUGGCCAACCGCCAGGUUUUCAACAUAUUAAUUGAUGCAUAUGCUAAACGAGGACUGAUAGAUGAAGCUGUUCUCAUACUUACUGAAAUGCGGGGACACGGACUGAGUCCGGAUGUAUUACCGAAAAAGGGUUUCCCCCCGCUUUGUAUACAAAGCAACCAACCGAACCAUACAGAGAUAGGUGCUGGGGCGGAAGCAGCACAGUCACGCCCAAAAGAAACGACAGAGAAAGAGCAAAAGAAACAAAUGCCGACAACGGCGGAUCAACAAAAACGAAGAAGCCUCGCGAUCGCUGCACCCACCGGGAUCUUCCACUAGGCUCCAAGACUCCGAAGCGCUGGCACCUAUCAACACCUCCAAGAAGGAUCGGGACGAUGACGACGCUGCUGCCAAGGGUUUCCACCGGUACACGACGAGGCGAGAGGAAGGGUAGCCCCCGAUGCCCUCUCAGAAGGCCAGGUGGCACCCACAGGCGCCACCGCGCCGGUGUCGGCCACAGUCCGGAUGUAUUCACCUAUUCAACUCUAGUAUCUGCACUUUGCAGAAUGGGUAAGCUAGCUGAUGCUAUGGAUAAGUUCAGUGAGAUGAUUGGUACGGGAGUACAACCAGGCACAGUUGUUUAUCACUCCCUAAUUCAGGGUUUCUGUACACAUGGCGAUUUGGUGAAAGCAAAGGAGUUGGUAUAUGAAAUGAUGAACAAAGGUAGUCCUUGUCCAAACAUUGCAUUCUUCAGUUCAAUAGUAGACAGUCUAUGCAAAGAAGGAAGGGUUAUGGAUGCACACCAUAUCUUUGACUUGGUUAAAGACAUAGGUGAGAGACCUGACAUCAUUAUGUUUAAUACGCUGAUUGACGGAUAUUGCCUAGUCGGUGAGAUGGAGAAAGCAUGUGGUGUAUUUGAUGCCAUGGUAUCAGCUGUCGUUGAGCCUGAUGUCAUUACCUAUAGUACACUUGUCAGUGGAUAUUGUAAAAGUGGAAGGAUCGAUGAUGGGUUGAAUCUGUUCACAGAAAUGUUGCAUAAGAAAGUUAAACCUACAACUGUUACAUAUGGCACCAUACUGGAUGGGUUAUUUUGUGCUGGGAGAUCUGCUGCUGCAAAGAAAGUGUUCCAUGAGAUGAUCGAAAGUGGAAUAAUGGUGAGCAUUUCUACAUAUAAUAUAAUUCUUGGAGGACUUUGUAGAAAUAAUUGCGCAGAUGAAGCGAUCGUCCUAUUCCAGAAAUUGUGUGCAAUGAAUGUGAAGUUCAAUAUCACAACACUCAAUACCAUGCUUAAUGCAUUCUACAAGGUUCAAAGAAGAGAAGAAGCUAGUGAUUUGUUUGCUGCAUUACCAGCCAGCGGGUUGGUGCCUAAUGCUUCUACUUACGGAGUAAUGAUACAAAAUCUUCUAAAAGAAGGAGCGGUGGAAGAAGCUGACAGUAUGUUCUCAUCAAUGGAGAAGAGUGGUUGUGCUCCUAGCUCUCGUUUUUUAAAUUAUAUCAUCAGAACGUUAUUGGAAAAAGGGGAGAUAGACAAGGCCGGAAAAUAUAUGUCUAAAGUUGAUGGGAAGACUAUUUUGCUUGAAGCUUCAACUACUUCAUUGCUGAUGUCCCUCUUUUCAAGGGGAGGCAAAUAUCAGGAGCACAUACUCUUGCUCCCUGCAAAGUAUCAACUUUUUAGUGGAGUGAACCACAGUUGAGUACUUGAUACAUUGUUUAUGAUCUUAACUGCUCAGAAGGUACAGUUGAGUUGUUGGUAUAAGAAAUGCAAGUUACCUGCUUGUGGAAAGUCGGUCCUUCAUUAUUUCAUUGACUGCAUCUUUUGGUGUGUUGAAACCGCUAGAAUGUGAAGUAUCUGUGAAUCUUUUAAUCUUUGUUGGACGAGGAAAGGUGGACUGAGUUAUCUAACUCAAAUGGUUGCAAUUUUUGGAAUAACGGUUUUUGCUUGCCAACAGGGAAGGUAUCGAUAUGUGUUCUUUCCAGAAGAAGCGCAAUGAAUACAAAUGCAAUCUUUUGUAACAUGAAUUUUUAACCGAAAUCUGUAGGGAAGGCCUGAAUGGUAAAUCUUUAUUGAAAAACAAGCAGAUGGGUGUACAAGAUUAGAGGAGAAUCUGCAAAGCAAGAGGGGCGAAAGAACAGAGCUAAACAGGAUCCCCAGCCCAGAAACCCUCCCCUCCAAACGAAGAUACGUGCCACCUUUGAAAAUGGAGCAAGAGGCUGCAGAUCUGAACUAAACAGCAAGCUUGAACACAUCGCUUGACACGAGGAAUAUCCAAUUUGUUAUAAAACUUGUGCAGAAACUUCAGUACAAGCUCAUUGAUUGAAAAGUUGAUAAUAACUAAGCUCCCACGGUUUUUGGGUAAGCAAACCUUAACACAAGCUGAAUUUAAUUAUGUCUUUGGGUAAGCAAACCUUUGUGUAAGUUUGGCUUUGGCCAUUUCAUAGCAGAAUUUGAUGUGUAGUUCAGUGCAUCAUUUAAUUAUGUCCAUGGCUUUGCAAAAAAUGUUUCUAUGUAGUUAUUUGGUGUUUCUCUUGGCAAUGUUUACCUGUAAAGCUUUAUGAAAGCUGUAGUAAUUUGACAUCGUUUGCAUAGUAAUGGUUGCAGAAGAAACAUGAUAGCAGGUUUCUCUUGUUCCAUGCUUUGUUUGCUACAGAUUUAGAGGUCAUCCUGUUGCUAGUUAUAAGGGGUUUAGUAAUUUUUUAUUUGUUCCUUUAUGUUUAUGUGAACAGUUUUUGGUGUUUCUAAGAACUUAAGCAGACAGUUACUUGUAUGGGAAAAGAAAAGAUAACGCCGACCCAUGUUCUGUUCCUAUUCUAGUAUUCUGUAAGAACGAAAUUACUGGACCAUUGUGAAGAAGGUAACACGCACUGAUCUACCUUAGCCCCAAAUUGCUUCCUUUUUGUAAGGGAAUGCUUCAUUUCUUCCUCUCCAGGACAACAAACUUUUAUUGAAGCAACAAUUACUGAUCUUGUGUUUUCUGCCAAUGGCUAUUGUAAGAUUGGAAGGACCGAUGAUGGGUUGAAUCUGUUCAGAGAAAUAUUGCAUAAGAAAGUUAAACCUACAACUAUUACGUAUAGCACCAUACUGAAUGGACUGUUUCGUGCUGGGAGAACAGUUGCUGCAAAGAAAAUGCUCCAUGAGAUGGUCGAAUGCGGAACAACAGUGAGCUUGUCCACAUACAACAUAAUUCUUGGGGGACUUUGUAGAAAUGAUUGCACCGACGAAGCAAUCGUCCUAUUUCAGAAAUUAGGUGCAAUGAAUGUGAAAUUGGAUAUCACAACACUCAAUACCAUGAUUGAUGCAAUGUACAAGGUUCGUAGAAGACAAGAAGCUAAAGAUUUGUUUGCUGCAAUAUCAGCCAGUGGCUUGGUACCUAAUUCUCCUACUUACGGCACAAUGAUACAAAGUCUACUAAAAGAAGGAUUAAUGGAAGAAGCUGACAAUAUCUUCUCAUCAAUGGAGAAGAGUGGCUGUGUUCUGAGCUCUCGUCUUUUAAAUGAUAUCAUCAGAACAUUACUGGAAAAGGGGGAGAUUCUAAAGGCCGGAAAUUAUAUGUCUAAAAUUGAUGGGAAGAACGCCCAACUUGAAGCUUCAACUAGUUCGUUGUUGUUGUCUCUGUUUUCAGGGGAAGGGAAAUAUCGGGAACAAAUACAGUUGCUCCCUGUAAAGUACCAAUUCUUCGAUGCAGUUAGUUGAUGAAGUGGACUCAGCAGAUACAUGUUCGCUUGGUUUGGAGCUCCCUCUCAAUGAUGUUGCCAAGUCUUUCAUCCGCUCGCACACCAAGAUUGAGCUGGGUGAUGGUGCCACACUGCCACCAUGGUGUUCUGGUCGGUGCUUAGCUGCUGGGCGUGCAUCCUAUGGACAUCGCUCCUAAUCCGCUUUCCACCUCCACGCAUGGGCCAUUUGGUGUGAUGUGUUUGCUAAUGGUGAAAGCUUACUAAUAUUCGGGAGGAUGUUAUCCCUGAGUUUAUCAAGCUAUUUGGAGUUCUCUGAACCUCUGCAUAUCAAGUGCAUGUUGGCCCGAAGGCAAUUAUAGUGAAAUCGACGGACUAUUCUACAUUAUCAAGCUGUUUGGCGUUAACUGAACCCCCCAGCAUCAAGAGUUUGAUGAUUUUACUACCUGAAGAAUCUUGAGGCUUUGAAACCUGUGUACAUGAAAUUUGAACUUCCAUUCAGUCUCCUGUGUAAUGGUGUAAUUUUCCUAUGGUUUGAUACAUAGCUGUAGUUGUAGCACUACCUAAUUAAAAAAUAAUGUAAGAAAAUCCACAAUUUAUUCUUGUUAUCAUUAAAAUAAUGAAGUUGCAGAAACAUUAUGCUUUGACAUUUCACAAGAUAAAAAUAACAAUAAAUUAUACCAGCUCCAAUUAUCCGGUGAAACUGGAUGGACAGCUUCUAAGAAAGACCAUCAUCUUUUGUAGACCCUCUAACAAAACUUGGUACCUGAUUGCUUAGCUAGCCACUCUUAUAGUACUAGAUUAUCUGGUUUUGGGAAAGUUCUUUCCCUGACUAUCUCUCAGUUACUUGCAAAUGACAUGGUUAUCAUUUGAGAAAUAAAGUCUUAUUGCUGCAAAAGGAAAAAACUGAAGGUAAUUUACAUGUCAUCCCUGCUAAAAACAAAAUCAUUCUGCAGUGGGCUGCUGCAACUCCUUGGGAGAGGCAGAUCACAUCUCUGAAGCGUCUUGGCAUACGCUCCAUAUUCAGAUUAAAGCCCAAAUGCAGGAGUACGAAACAUCUCGACAUCAUAACUGAUAGAUGCACUUAUGUUCUUGCCUUAUACCAUUAGCGAUAACUGGACACAUCUACCACAUUACCUGUCUAAUGUUGAUGUUCUGUCGAAUUUAGUUUUGGAAUGCAUGUGCUAUUUUUCAUCUUUUUGGGUAAGAACACUGUUUUUUGUCUUGCUCACUGAACAUGCACAUUUUCUCUAGAUGAAGUUUCUGUGAUGAGAAACUUGCUGGGUGAUCCAUUUGCCCUUACAUCUUCUGCAUGGAAUGGCUUGUGCUGUGAUUAUACCCCAAGCGAUCCUUCCAAGAAUAAAAGCCUGGUGAGUUCUAAGUGAACAUAAUUGCCCUCUAUAUAUGCUGUGAGUAGAUUUGCAUCUGAAAUCAAAGAAGCAAAUAGAAAAUAAGGCUAUGGACCUAUAUUUGGAUGUAUAAUGAUUGUUUCAUCCUUGCAGAAUCUUGUCAUCCAAUGUAUUGGUUAGUGAAAUUGGCACUUCUGGUCAUCUGACGUUGCUCCAACAUGUACCUUCUGUAAAUAUUUUCUCAGAGUUUCUCGUAGAAAGUGUUCUUGCCAUAUUUUAUAGCCAUUUUAUUAACAGUGCUCGCAUUUUUAGACAUGUAUGGCCGCUCAAUGCUCGUUUUCUUCUAGACAUAUUAACAGUGCUUUUAUAGUCACUGUAUUAGCUAGUCUUAGAUUGUUCAAAAGGUUAUGAAAUUGUUCUGUCCUAUGACGAGGAUAGAGUUUCGUAGGCACAAGUAUUUGCUUGUCAUUGGACUGGAGGAUUUAGUUUUUUUAAUAAAAAAUUAGCUAUUGUCCUGUAAAUUUUACCUGGGCCAUCUUUUUUCAGACUCCAGUAUUUCCAUUUGCCAGCAUCUGUCUUUGACAACCAUGCAGAGAGAUUCAGUUGUUGCUGCCAUCAUAUCCUUCCUUUUUUCACUUUUAUUUUCUUUCCUAGUAACUAUUGUUUGAUGCACCAUUGAUCAAUUACAAAGAUGAGGUUCAUCUACGUACACAUUUUCAGGGCACACAGGCCUCUUUGCCGACCACUUGAAAACUGCAAAACAAAAUACGUCAUGGUUUUUAUGCUUUGCUCCACAUGUCACUAUUAAGAACAACAAAUUACCAAUGGAUAUCUAUGAGAUCUGGUGAUGCCAUUCAAGAUCCAUGUCCCUUCUAUCGCUCUAAAACGGGAAGAUUUCGAGUCGGCAUGCCUUGGUGUCAUGGUGUGUGCUUCAAGCUCGAGCAUUCUUUUCCUUCUUUUUGAGAAAUUUUGACAUACCACUGAACGAAUAUCAAAUUGCAACAUGCAUCUGCGCAAACCACGAGACAACGAGAGAGGACAUAUGCCCAUAAUCAUUUGUAGGAGAACUCCCCACAAAAAAAGAGAACUACAUUGAAGUCCUUUGAAAUUUCAGCAACUGCGGUCCUCACCAAUUGUCGCCGUCGGACACGAAGAAGCACCAUCGCUCAUGAGGGCUUUCAGAUUCGAAGAAGAGGUCUGCCGCCGGCUAGGCCAUUUGUCGGUAUGGUGCAUCGACUGGGAUCAUCCCAUUCCCCUGCUCCUCGAAACCCAGGUCCACCACAUGUCAUGGAGGUAGAAGAACAAAACAGACAUCCUCAAGCAUCCAACCUUGUUCUGAGUUCACUGCUAAAGACACUGUCAAGAUGAGCUAGGAUUUGGGCGAAAUUAUUCCAAAUGUUGUCACGGGACACACUAAUCCUAAGCCUUAACUAUAGCGGAGGCAGAGAGCCUGGGUUCUCCCACCUCUUCGCUGUCUGAGCGGCCAAGAGAACCCACAGCCUCACCGGAGGGAGGAGUUAGAGGGAGCGCAAUUGUUCUUGUUUUAAUUAUUUUAGGCUGCUUGUAAUGGGUAGUAUCAUACCUUAGGCUGGUCAUAGUGGGAAGUAUCAUAUACUAGUAUCAUUCAUAUGAUACUAGUGUAUAAUACUACAUCCAUAGUGCAUAGUAACAUAGAUUAGUAUUAUAGGUGGUCACAUUUAUUGCCAUGCAUGGCACAUAGUAGCAUAACAUUUAUUAUGUUACGGUAUCUACCAAUGUUACUAUAACCAUCUUUCUCUUCUUUAAUUGACUGCCACAUAAGCAUGUUUGUGAGUCCCAAGUGCAUGUUACUACUUAUGUUACCCCCACUAUGGCCAGCCUUAGUAUCAUGCACAUGAUACUAAGGUAUGAUAAUACCUCUAUAAUGCACAAUAUCAUAUACUAGUAUUAUAGGUAACCUUAUUUAUUGUCAUACAUGACACAUAGUAGUAUAGCAUUUAAUAUGAUACGGUAUCAUAAUAUGAUACUCAACACUCUCUUUCUUUAUUUAGUUCUAUGCCCUAGAGGCAAUAAUAAAUUGGUUAUUAUUAUAUUUCCUUGUUCAUUAUAAUCGUUUAUUGUCCAUGCUAGAAUUGUAUUGAUAGGAAACUCAGAUACAUGUGUGGAUACAUAGACAACACCAUGUCCCUAGUAAAGUUGACUAGCUCGUUGAUCAAUAGAUGGUUAUGGUUUCCUGACCAUGGACAUUGGAUGUCGUUGAUAACGGGAUCACAUCAUUAGGAGAAUGAUGUGAUGGACAAGACCCAAUCCUAAGCCUAGCACAAAGAUCGUGUAGUUCGUAUGCUAAAGCUUUUCUAAUGUCAAGUAUCAUUUCCUUAGACCAUGAGAUUGUACAACUCCCGGAUACCAUAGGAGUGCUUUGGGUGUGCCAAACGUCACGACGUAACUGGGUGGCUAUAAAGGUACACUACAGGUAUCUCCGAAAGUGUCUGUUGGGUUGGCACAAAUCGAGACUGGGAUUUGUCACUCCGUGUAAACGGAGAGGUAUCUCUGGGCCCACUUGGUAGGACAUCAUCAUAAUGUGCACAAUGUGACCAAGGAGUUGAUCACGGGAUGAUGUGUUACGGAACGACUAAAGAGACUUGCCAGUAACGAGAUUGAACAAGGUAUCUGGAUACCGACGAUCGAAUCUCGGGCAAGUAUUGUACCGAUGGACAAAGGGAAUUGAAUACGGGAUUGAUUGAAUCCUCGACAUCGUGGUUCAUCCGAUGAGAUCAUCGUGGAACAUGUGGGAGCCAACAUGGGUAUCCAGAUCCCGCUGUUGGUUAUUGGCCGGAGAGGUGUCUCGGUCAUGUCUGCAUGGUUCCCGAACCCGUAGGGUCUACACACUUAAGGUUCGAUGACGCUAGGGUUAUAGGGAAAGUACGUACACGGUUACCGAAUGUUGUUCGGAGUCCCGGAUGAGAUCCCGGACAUCACGAGGAGUUCCAGAAUGGUCCGGAGGUAAAGAUUUAUAUAUGGGAAGUCCUAUUUUGGUCACCGGAAAAGUUUCGGGUGCUAUCGAUAAUGUACCGGGACCACCGGGAGGGUCCCGGGGGUCCACCAGGUGGGGCUACCUGCCCCAGAAGGCUGCGUGGGCCAAGUGUGAGAGGGGACCAGCCCCAGGUGGGCUGGUGCGCCCCCCACCAGGGCCCAAGGCAAAGAGAGAAGGGAAAAGGGGGAAACCCUAGGCUCAGAUGGGCCUAAGGCCCACCUAGUGGUGCGCCCCCCCUCUCUCCCCCUUUGGCCGCCCCCUAGAUGGGAUCUAGGGCAGGCCGCCACCCCUAGGGGUGGAAACCUAGGUGGGGGCGCAGCCCCUCCCCUCCCCCUAUAUAUACUUGAGGUAUGGGGCUGCCCAACGGGUGUGAUUUGCUCUCCCUGUUGGCGCAGCCCUACCUCUCUCCCUCCUCAUCUCUCGUAGUGCUUGGCGAAGCCCUGCUGGAGUCCCGCGCUCCUCCACCACCACCACGCCGUCGUGCUGCUGCUGGAUGGAGUCUUCCCCAACCUCUCCUUCUCCCCUUGCUGGAUCAAGGUGUAGGAGACGUUACCGGGCUGUAUGUGUGUUGAACACGGAGGUGCCGUCCGUUUGGCACUAGGAUCAUCGGUGAUUUGGAUCACGACAAGUACAACUUCAUCAACCCCGUUCACUUGGACGCUUCCGCUUAGCGAUCUACAAGGGUAUGUAGAUGUACUCUCCUUCCCCUCGUUGCUAGACUACUCCAUAGAUUGAUCUUGGUGAUGCGUAGAAAAUUUUGAAUUUUUCCUACGAUCCCCAACAGUGGUAUCAGAGCUAGGUCUAUGCGUAGUUUCUAUGCACGAGUAGAACACAAAGCAGUUGUGGGCGUCGACAUUGUCAAUUUACUUGCCGUUACUAGUCUUAUCUUGAUUUGGCGGCAUCAUGGGAUGAAGCGGCCCGGACCGACCUUACACGUACUCUUACGUGAGACUGAUUCCACCGACUAACAUGCACUAGUUGCAUAAGGUGGCUAGCGGGUGUCUGUCUCUCCCACUUUAGUCGGAUCAGAUUCGAUGAAAAUGGUCCUUAUGAAGGGUAAAUAGAAAUUGGCAUAUCAUGUUGUGGUUUUCGCGUAGGUAAGAAACGUUCUUGCUAGAAACCUAUAGCAGCCACGUAAAAACUUGCAACAACAAUUAGAGGAUAUCUAACUUGUUUUUGCAGCAUAUGCCUUGUGAUGUGAUAUGGCCAAAAGGAUGUGGUGAAUGAUAUAUGUGAUGUAUGAGAUUGAUCAUGUUCUUGUAAUAGGAAUCACGACUUGCAUGUCGAUGAGUAUGACAACUGGCAGGAGCCAUAGGAGUUGUCUUAAUUUAUUUAUGACCUGCGUGUCAACAUAAACGUCAUGUAAUUACUUUACUUUAUUGCUAAAGCGUUAGCCAUAGUAGUAGAAGUAAUAAAUGACGAGACAACUUCAAGAAGACACGAUGAUGGAGAUCAUGGUGUCAUGCCGGUGACAACGAUGAUCAUGGAGCCCCGAAGAUGGAGAUCAAAAGGAGCAAAAUGAUAUUGGCCAUAUCAUGUCACUAUUUGAUUGCAUGUGAUGUUUAUCAUGUUUUACAUCUUAUUUGCUUAGAACGACGAUAGCUUAAAUAAGAUGAUCCCUCACUAAAAUUUCAAGAAAGGUGUUCCCCCUAACUGUGCACCGUUGCGAAGGUUCGUUGUUUCGAAGCACCACAUGAUGAUCGAGUGUGAUAGAUUCUAACGUUCGAAUACAACGGGUGUAAGCCAGAUUUACACAGCAAAAACACUUAGGUUGACUUGACGAGCCUAGCAUGUACAGACAUGGCCUCGGAACACGGAAGACCGAAAGGUCGAACAUGAGUCGUACAGAAGAUACGAUCAAUAUGAGAUGUUCACCGUUGAUGACUAGUCCGUCUCACGUGAUGAUCGGACACGGCCUAGUCGAUUCGGAUCAUGUUUCACUUAGAUGACUAGAGGGAUGUCUAUCUGAGUGGGAGUUCAUUAGAUGAACUCAAUUAUCAUGAACAUAGUCUAAAUUGCCUUUGCAAAUAUGUUGUAGAUAAAUAGCUCACGUUGUAGCUCCCUGUUUCAAUAUGUUCCUAGAGAAAGAUUAAGUUGAAAGAUAUUGUAAGCAAUGAUGCGGACUGGGUCCGUAGUCCGAGGAGUGUCCUCACUGCUACACAGAAGGCUUACGUCUUUGAUGCACCGCUCGAUGUGCAAACCCCUACAACGUCAUCUGUGGAUGUUGUGAACACCUGACAGACACGUCCUGAUGACUACUUGAUAGUUUAGUGCACCAUACUUUACGGCUUAGAAUCGGGAUUCCAAUGACGUUUUAAACGCCAUAGAACAUAUGAGAUGUUCCAAGAGCUGAAAUUGGGAUUUCAGGCUCAUGCCCGUGUUGAGAGGUGUGAGACCUCUAACAAGUUCUUUAGCCAACAAGAUGGAGGAGAAUAGCUCAGCUAGUGAGCAUGUGCUCAGAAUGUCUGGGUGCUACAAUCACUUAAAUCAAGUGGGAGUUAAACUUCCAGAUAAGAUAGUGAUUGAUAGAGUUCUCUAGCCACUAUCACUAAGCUACUAGAUCUUCGUGAUGAACUAUGACGUGCAAGGGAUGGAGUUGAUCCCGGAGCUGUUCGCGGUGCUUAAGACCAUAAAGGGUAGAAAUCAAGAAGGAGCAUCAAGUGUUGAUGGUUUAACAAGACCACUGGUUUCAAGAAGGGCUAGGGAUAGAAGGGAAACUUCAUGGAUGGCAAGCCAGUUGCCGCUCCAGUGAAGGAACCCAAGGUUGAACCCAAACCCGAGACUAAGUGCUUCUAUUGUAAGGGGAACGGUCACUGGUAGCGGAAUUACACCAAAUGCAUGGUAGAUAAGAAGGCUGGCAACCUCAACAAAGUAUAUACGUGUUAUUAAUGUGUACCUCGCUAGUACUCCUGGUAGCACCUGGGUAUUGGAUACCGGUUCAGUUGCUAUUACUGGUGACUUGAAGCAAAAGCUGCGGACUAAACGGAGACUGGCUAAGGGCGAGGUGACGAUGUGUGUUGGAAGUGUUUCCAAAGUUGAUGAGAUCACCAUCGCACGCUCCAUCUGCCUUCGGGAUUAGUAUUGAACCUAGAUAUAUGUUAUCAGGUGUCUACGUUGAGCAUGAAUAUGAUUAGAUCAUAUUCAUUGCAAUACGGUCAUUCAUUUAAGUUAGAGAAUAAUGGUUAUUCUGUUUACAUGAAUGAUACCUUUCAUGGUCAUGCACCCUAUGUGAAUGGUUCAUUGAAUCUCGGUCGUGGUAAUACACAUGUUCACGCCAAAAGAUGUAGAGUUAAUAAUGAUAGUACCACUUUCUCGUGGCACUGCCGCUUAGGUCAUAUUGGCGUAAGAUGCAUGAAGAAACUCCAUGUCGAUGGAUGCUUAGAGUCACUUGAUUUUGAAUCACUUGACACAUGCGAGCCAUGCCUCAUGGGCAGGAUGACUAACACCCCGUUUUCAGGUACAAUGAAAUGGGCAAGUGACUUGUUGGAAAUCAUGCAUGCUGAUGCGUGUGAUCCAAUGAGAAUUGAAGCGUGCAGUGGAUAUCGCUGUUUUCUCAUCUUCACUGACGAUUUGGGUAGAUAUAGGUAUAUCUACUUAAUGAAGCACAAGUCUGAAAUGUUUGAAAAAUUCACGCGAUUUCAGAGUGAAGUUAAGAACCAUCAUAACAAUAAGAUCAUGUUCCUACGAUCUGAUCAAAAGGAGAUUUUCUGAGUUAUGAGUUUGGCAAUCACUUAAGACAUUGUGGAAUUAUUUCACAGUUGAAGCCACCUGGAACACCACAAGAUAAUGGUGUGUCCGGACGUCGUAAUCGAACACUAUGAGAUAUGGUGUGAUCUAUGAUGUCUCUUAUCAAUCUACCGUUUUCAUUUUGAGGUUAUGCGUUAGAGACAUCUGCAUUCACUUUAGAUAGGACACCAUCUAAGUCCGUUGAGACGACAUCAUAAGAACAUUGGUUUGGCAAGAAACCAAAGUUGUCAUUUCUUAACGUUUGGGGAUGCGAUGCUUGGGGCUUCAGCCGAAGAAGCUCGAACCCAAAGCGGACAAACACAUCUUCAUAUGAUACUCAAGGGUGACAGUUGGCUAUACCUUCUAUCUCAGAUCCGAGGGAAAAUUGUUUGUCGCUAAGAACGGGUCCUUUCUUGAGAAGGAGUUUCUCUCAAAAGAAUUGAGUGGGAGUAAGAUAGAACUUGAUGAGGUUGUCAAACCUUUAUUUCAACCAGAGAGUGAUGCAACACAGAAAGAUGUUUUCUGUGGUGCCUACAACUUUUGAAUAGGAAGUUAAUGAUAGUGAUCAUGAAGCUUCGGAUCAAGUUGCUAUCGAACCUCGUAGGUCGACAAGGAUAUGUACUACUCCUAAGUGGUACGGUAAUCCUGUCUUAGAUAUCAUGUUGUUAGACAACAAUGAACCUACGAGCUAUGGAGAAGCGAUGGUGGGCCCGUAUUCUGACAAAUAGUUAGAAGCCAUGAAAUCCGAGAUAGGAUCCAUGUAUUAGAACAAAGUAUGGACUUUGGUGGACUUGCCCGUUGAUCGGCAAGCCAUUGAGAUAAAUGGAUCUUCAAGAAGAAGACGGACGUGGGCGGUAAUGUUACCGUCUAUGAAGCUCGACUUGUGGGAAAGAAUCUUUUCACAAGUUCAAGGAGUUGACUACGAUGAGAAUUUCUCACCCAUAGCGAUGCUUAAGUCCGUCGGAAUCAUGUUAGCAUUAGCUGUAUUUUUCGAUUAUGAAAUCUUACAGAUGGAUGUCAAAACAAGUUUUCUUACCAAGUUUUCAUAAGAAAAGCUGUAUGUGAUACAAUAAAAGGUUUUGUCGAUCCUAAGGAUGCUAAAAGGUAUGCUGGCUCCAGCAAUCCUUCUAUGGACUAGAGCAAGCAUCUCGGAAUCGGAAUAUAUGUUUUGAUGGAGUGAUCAAAGCUCUUAGGUUUAUACAAUGUUUGCAAGAAACUUUUAUUUACAAGAAAGUGAGUGGGAGCACUACAAUAUUUCUGAUAAGUAUAUGUGGAUGACAUACUGUUGAUCUGAAAUAAUGUAGAAUUUCUGGAAAGCAUAAACGGUUGUUUGAAGAGUGAUUUUCAAAGGAAGACCUGGAUAAAGCUGCUUACAUAUUGGGCAUCAAAAUCUAUAGAAAUAGAUCAAGACGCCUGAUGAUACUUUCAAAGAACGCACACCUUGACAUGUUUUUGAAAGAGUUCAAAAUAGAUCAGUCAAAGAAGGGGUUCUCACCUGAGUUGUAAGGUGUGAAGUUGAGUAAGACUCGAAGAUUGACCAUGGCAGAAGAAAGAGAAGGACGAAGGUCGUCCCCUAUGCUUUUGUCAUAGGCUCUAUACAGUAUGCCAUGCUGAGUACCGCACCAGAUGUGUGACUUGCCACAUGUCUGGCAAGAGGGUACAAAGGUGAUCUAGGAGUAGAUCACCAGAUAGCGGUCAAAAUUAUCCUCAGGGGAAUAAGGAAAUGUUUCUCGAUUAUGGAGGUGAUAAAGAGUUCGACGUAAAGAGUUACGUCGAUGCAGGCUUAACACCUAUCCGGAUAGCUCUGAGUAGAGAUACCGAAUACGUAUAAUGGAGCUGAUGGGGAACGUAGCAUAAAUUCAAAAUUUUCCUACGUGUCACCAAGAUCUAUCUAUGGAGUCAUCUAGCAACGAGGGAGGAGUGGAUCUACAUACCCUUGUAGAUCGCGCGCGGAAGCAUUCAAGAGAACGGGGUUGAUGGAGUCGUACUCGUCGUGAUCCAAAUCACCGAUGAUCCCAGCGCCGAACGGACGGCACCUCCGCGUUCAACACACGUACGGAGCAGCGACGUCUCCUCCUUCUUGAUCCAGCAAGGGGGGAGGAGAGGUUGAUGGAGAUCCAGCAGCACGAGGGCGUGGUGGUGGAAGUAGCGGGAUUCCAACAGGGCUUCGCCAAGCGCUGCGGGAGGAGGGAGAUGUGUCAUGGGAGGGAGAGGGAGGCGCCAGGGCUUAGGUUGGGCUGCCCUCCCUUCCCCCCACUAUAUAUAGGGCCAAGGGAGAGGGGGAGGCGCAGCCUUGGCCCUUCCUCCAAGGAAGGGUACGGCCAGGGGAGGAGUCCCUCCUCCCCAAGGCACCUCGGAGGUGCAUUCCCCCUUUAGGACUCUUCCUUUCCCUCUUCUCUUGGCGCAUGGGCCUCUUGGGGCUGGUGCCCUUGGCCCAUAUAGGCCAAGGCGCACCCCCUACAGCCCAUGUGGCCCCCCGGGGCAGGUGGCCCCACCCGGUGGACCCCCGGGACCCUUCCGGUGGUCCCGGUACAAUACCGGUGACCCCGAAACUUGUCCCGAUGGCCGAAAUAGCACUUCCUAUAUAUAAUUCUUUACCUCCGGACCAUUCCGGAACUCCUCGUGACGUUCAGGAUCUCAUCCGGGACUCCGAACAACUUUCGGGUUACCGCAUACUAAUAUCUCUAUAACCCUAGCGUCACCGAACCUUAAGUGUGUAGACCCUUUCGGGAACCAUACAUACAUGACCGAGACGUUCUCCGGUCAAUAACAAAUAGCGGGAUCUGGAUACCCAUGUUGGCUCCCACAUGUUCCACGAUGAUCUCAUCGGAUGAACCACGAUGUCAAGGACUUAAUCAAUCCCGUAUACAAUUCCCUUUGUCUAGCGGUAUGAUACUUGCCCGAGAUUCGAUCAUCGAUAUCCCGAUACCUUGUUCAAUCUCGUUACCGGCAAGUCUCUUUACUCGUUCCGUAACACAUCAUCCCGUGAUCAACUCCUUGAUCACAUUGUGCACAUUAUGAUGAUGUCCUACCGAGUGGGCCCAGAGAUACCUCUCCGUUUACAUGGAGUGAUAAAUCCCAGUCUCGAUUCGUGCCAACCCAACAGACACUUUCGGAGAUACCUGUAGUGUACCUUUAUAGCCACCCAGUUACGUUGUGACGUUUGGCACACCCAAAGCACUCCUACGGUAUCCGGGAGUUGCACAAUCUCAUGGUCUAAGGAAAUGAUACUUGACAUUAGAAAAGCUUUAGCAUACGAACUACAUGAUCUUGUGCUAGGCUUAGGAUUCGGUCUUUGUCCAUCACAUCAUUUUCCUAAUGAUGUGAUCCCGUUAUCAAUGACAUCCAAUGUCCAUGGUCAGGAAACCGUAACCAUCUAUUGAUCAACGAGCUAGUCAACUAGAGGCUUACUAGGGACAUGGUGUUGUCUAUGUAUCCACACAUGUAUCUGAGUUUCCUAUCAAUACAAUUCUAGCAUGGAUAAUAAACGAUUAUCAUGAACAAGGAAAUAUAAUAAUAACCAAUUUAUUAUUGCCUCUAGGGCAUAUUUCCAACAGUCUCCCACUUGCACUAGAGUCAAUAAUCCAGUUCACAUCGCUAUGUGACUAACACUCAAGGUCACAUCCCCAUGUGACUAACACCCAAAGAGUUUACUAGAGUCAAUAAUCUAGUUCACAUUACCAUGUGAUUAACACUCGAUGAGUUCUGGGUUUGAACAUGUUAUGCUUGUGAGAGAUGUUAUAGUCAACGGGUCUGAAUCUUUCAGAUCUGUAUGUACUUCGCAAAUUUCUAUGUCAUCUUGUAGAUGCAACUACUACGCUACAUUUGGAGCUAUUCCAAAUAACUGUUCUACUUGGAGCUAUUCUAAAUUGUUGCUCCAUUAUACGUAUCCGGUAUCUCUACUCAGAGCUAUCUGGAUAGGUGUUAAGCUUGCAUCGACGUAACUCUUUACGUCGAACUCUUUAUCACCUCCAUAACCGAGAAACAUAUCCUUAUUCCUCUAAGGAUAAUUUAGACCGCUAUCUGGUGAUCUACUCCUAGAUUACCUUUGUACCCUCUUGCCAGAUAUGUGGCAAGGCACACAUCAGGUGCGGUACUCAGCAUGGCAUACCGUAUAGAGCCUAUGACAAAAGCAUAGGGGACGACCUUCGUCCUUCCUCUUUCUUCUGCCGUGGUCGAGCUUUAAGUCUUAACUUCAUACCUUACAACUCAGGCAAGAACUCCUUCUUUGACUGGUCCAUCUUGAACACCUUCAAGAUCAUGUCAAGGUAUGUGCUCAUUUGAAAGUACCAUUAAGAAUUUUGAUCUAUCCUUAUAGAUCUUGAUGCUCAAUGUUCAAGUAGCUUAAUCCAGGCUUUCCAUUGAAAAAUACUUUCCAAAUAACCCUAUAUGCUUUCCAGAAAUUCUACGUCAUUUCUGAUCAACAAUAUGUCAACAUAUAUUUAUCAGAAAUUCUAUAGUGCUCCCACUCACUUCUUUGGAAAUACAAGUUUCUCAUAAACUUUGUAUACACCCAAAACUUUGAUCAUCUUAUCAAAGCAUACAUUCCAACUCCGAGAUGCUUACUCCAGUCCUUAGAAGGAUUGCUGGAGCUUUGCAUACUUAUUAGCAUCUUUCAGGAUUAUCAAAACCUUCCGGUUGUAUCACAUACAACCUUUCCUCAAAAAUCGUCGAGUAAACAAUGGUUUUUGACAUCCUAUCUGCAAGAUUUCAUAAAUAAUGCAGUAAUUGCUAAUAUAAUUCCAACAGACUCUUAGCAUUGCUACGAGUGAGAAAGUCUCAUCGCAGUCAACUCCUUGAACUUGUCGGAAAACAUCUUAACGACAAGUCAAGCUUUCUUAAUGGUGAUACCUAUCAUCAUUGUCCGUCUUCCUUUUAAAAUCCAUAUGUACCUAACAGCCUUACGACCAUCAAGUAGUUCUCCCAAAGUCUACACUUUGUUUUCAUAUAUGGAUCCUCUCUCGGAUUAUAUGGCCUCGAGCCAUUUUGGAAUCCAGGCCCAGCAUCGCUUCUCCAUAGCUCAUAGGUUCAUUGUUGUCUAGCAACAUGACUUCCAAGACAGGAUUACGUACCACUCUGAAGUAGUACGCAUCCUUGUCAUCCCACGAGGUUUGGUAGUGACUUGAUCUGAAGUUUCAUGAUCACUAUCAUAAGCUUCCACUUCAAUUGGUGUAGGUGCCACAGGAACAACUCCUGUGCCCUGCCACACACUAGUUGAAGAGACGGUUCAAUAACCUCAUCAAGUCUCCACCAUCCUCCCACUCAAUUCUUUCGAGAGAAACUUUUCCUCGAGAAAGGACCCGAUUCUAGAAACAAUCCCUUAUUGCUUUCGGAUCUGAGACAGGAGGUAUACCCAAAUGUUUUGGGUGUCCUAUGAAGAUGCAUUUAUCCGCUUUGGGUUCGAGCUUAUCAGCCUGAAACUUUUUCACAUAAGCGUCGCAGCCCCAAACUUUUAAGAAAUGACAGCUUAGGUUUCUCUAAACCAUAGUUCAUAUGGUGUCAUCUCAUUGGAAUUACGUGGUGCCCUAUUUAAAGUGAAUGUGGUUGUCUUUAAUGCCUAACCCAUAAACUAUCGUGGUAAUUCGAUAAGAGACAUCAUGGUAUGCAUCAUAUCCAAUAGGGUGCAGUUAUGAUGUUCGGACACACCAUCACACUAUGGUGUUCCAGGCUGUAUUAGUUGUGAAACAAUUUCCACAAUGUCUUAAUUUUGUGCCAAACUCGUAAUUCAGAUAUUCAUCUCUAUGAUCAUAUCAUAGAUAUUUUAUCCUCUUGUCACGACGAUCUUUCAACUUCACCCUGAAAUUACUUGAACCUUUCAAUAAUUCAGACUCGUGAUUCAUCAAGUAAAUAUACUCAACAUCUACUCAAAUCAUCUGUGAAGUAAGAACAUAACGAUAUCCACUACAUGCCUCAGCACUCAUUGGAUUGCACACAUCAAAAUGUAUUACUUCCAACAAGUUGCUUUCUAGUUUCAUUUUACUGAAAAUGAGGCUUUCAGUCAUCUUGCCCAUGUGGUAUGAUUUGCAUGUCUCAAGUGAUUCAAAAUCAAGUGAGUCCAAAUGGUCCAUUUGCAUGGAGUUUCUUCAUGCAUAUACACCAAUAGACAUGGUUCGCAUGUCUCAAACCUUUCAAAACAAGUGAGCCCAAAGAUCCAUCAACAUGGAGCUUCUUCAUGCGUUUUAUACCGAUAUGACUUACGUGGCAGUGCCACAAGUAGGUGGUACUAUCAUUACUAUCUUUUGGCAUGAACAUGUGUAUCACUACGAUCGAGAUUCAAUAAACCAUUCAUUUCAGGUGUAAGACCAUUUGAAGGUAUUAUUCAAAUAAACAGAGUAACCAUUAUUCUCUUUAAAUGAAUAACCGUAUUGCGAUAGACAUAAUCCAAUCAUGUCUAUGCUCAACGCAAACACCAAAUAACAAUUAUUUAGGUUUUAAUACCAAUCUCGAUGGUAGAGGGAGCAUGCGAUGCUUGAUCAUAUCAACCCUGGAAACACUUCCAACACAUAUCGUCAGCUCACCUUUAGCUAGUCUUCGUUUAUUCUGUAGCCUUUUGUUUCGAGUUACUAACACUUAGCAACCGAAUCGGUAUCUAAUACCCUGGUGCUACUAGGAGUACUAGUAAAGUACACAUCAACACAAUGUAUAUCCAAUAUACUUCUAUCGACCUUGCCAGCCUUCUCAUCUACCAAGUAUCUAGGGUAAUUCUGCUCCAGUGGCUGUUCCCCUUAUUACAGAAGCACUUAGUCUCGGGUUUGGGUUCAACCUUGGGUUUCUUCACUAGAGCAGCAGCUGAAUUGCCGUUUCAUGAAGUAUCCCUUCGUGCCCUUGCCCUUCUUGAAACUAGUGGUUUCACCAACCAUCAACAAUUGAUGCUCCUUGAUUUCUACUUUUGUGGUGUCAAACAUCGCGAAUAUCUCAAGGAUCAUCAUAUAUGUCCCUGAUAUAUUAUAGUUCAUCACGAAGCUCUAGCAGCUUGGUGGUAAUGACUUCGGAGAACCAUCACUAUUUCAUCUGGAAGAUCAACUCCCACUCGAUUCAAGCGAUUGUUGUACUCAGACAAUCUGAGCACAAGUUCAACAAUUGAGCUUUUCUCCCUUAGUUUGCAGGCUAAGAAAAUCGUCGGAGGUCUUAUACCUUUUGACGUGGGCACGAGCCUGAAAUCCCAAUUUCAGCCCUUGGAACAUCUCAUAUGUUCUGCGAUGUUUCAAAAACGUCUUUGGUGCCUCAAUUCUAAACGUUUAACUGAACUAUCACGUAGUUAUCAAAAUGUGUAUGUCAGAUGUUCGCAACAUCCACAGACAACGUUCGAGGUUCAGCACACUGAGCGGUGCAUGUUGUGGUAUUUCUCACAGGGGGCUUGCGAGUCGACAGAUGCCACAAGGGCUUAGUGUGUGGGUAAGACUGCUGCUGAUAGGACCGGGAGCGGGUAUGCGAGUAGCACGCGGUAGUUUACCCAGCUUCAGAGCUCUCCGGAGAGAUAAUACUCCUACUGCUGCAUGUCUGAGUGUAUAUGAUAUAUCUGGUACAGAGUUGCUCCUAGAGCUGUAUCUGAGGUCAGUGCCAUAGGCAUCUGGCCUCGUAUAUGCCUGUAUGAGGCAUGCUAGUGGCCGGCCAUGCAUGGCUAUGGCUUGUGGCCGUGAGUGUGUUUGUCUCCAUGUGUGUAUGAAUGGAUGGAUCGUUGCUAGCUAGCUUGCUUGCUAGCUUGCGUAUAUGCUAGGCCUUGUGCCCGUGAGUGUCCACCAUCCUGGAUGGAUGGAUGAGUGCCCCUUUUAUAGUGUGGGCUAGCUUACUAUGUAAGCUAUGUGGGUAGGCAUGGGUAAGGCAUGGUGCAUGUCAUGCUUGUCCCCUGGGUCACUUCAUAAAUAGUGCCAGGGGACAAGUGACACUGUACAUGAUGUCGUCGCGGUACGAUUGUCUUGUCCGCGGUACAUCCGUCUUGUCGGUGUCUUGUCGGUGUCGGGUCGGGCUGCAGUCGGCAGCCGGCUGGUUGGCGCAGUCGGCAGCCGGCUGGUUGGCGCAGUCGGCAGCCGGCUUUCAGACUGAGGGGCUUUGCUAACCCCGAUGUCUUGAAAUAUCGUCUCGCCGUCUUCGGGGUAUCACUGUCCAAUUACUCCGACAGUAGCCCCCAAGCCUCCGGGCAACUUGGCAAAGUUGGGCGGAGGUUUUUUGGCAAAUGUUCAUGGAAAUGAUCAUAAAAAAGGACAAAGUUAGUCCACACAAAUAUAUCAUAUGCUUGCUUUUAGUAUUGCAAGUUUUUAUGCGGAGGGUGCUGACUCGGUUUCGUCCGAGCCCCUUAAUAUUUUUUGUGUUCCUUCUGUUUUUUGGCUUGUGCUCUUGCUUGCCGAACAGCCUCUCUGUGGUCUGUGGCUAAGAGUGGGCCGCGAAGUGGAGUGUACAGUACUCAGAGUCUAGGAGCAGAUUCAACCGAGUAGAUACUUGUAAAGGAAAACGGCCGGGUCGCCCGAACGUUUUUCUUCCCGGGCGUUUUUCGCAUGGGUGGCCUCCAGCAUACACUCUUCCUAGUCAGACAGACUAAGAGUGGGCCUUUGGUACCGCGCAUGGUACUAAGCCGUCUGCGGGAACUAACGUCUCAGGCCAAGCGGCCAGCCCCCGGGCCAACUCUGGCUGGCGCCGGGGCGAACAGUGACGCUACUGUAAUAAAAUGCGGAGACAGUCCCCGAGCAUCGCUCGUGGCUAUCCAUGCUUGCGUGGUGCAAAAAAUAUGCGGGUGAGGAGCUCACAUUGAUUUUCGUGUAGUCGCGGUCGUCGGAGACAGCCGGCGCGACUCGGCGCUCGCGGAGCGCGUCGGCGCACCCGCUGGGUGAAGCCUUUGCCCGGCCGGUCAGGCUUGACCGGCCAGGCGGCGAGGUGUCUUGCAACGCCCUUUUUCUUCUGCCGGCUGCUGACAGCCGGACAAAACUCUUCUCUUGUCUGCAAUCUUCACGGGGGCGCGUCAGCGCACCCGCUGGGUGUAGCCCCCGAGAUUCGGGCCGACUGCUGAGCAGUCGGGCCGGAUCUCCCGGCAACUACUUUGUCUUCUCUCUCGCGGGGGCGCGUUAGCGCACCCGCUGGGUGUAGCCGCCGAGAUUCGGGCCGACUGCUGAGCAGUCGGGCUGGAUCUCCCGGCGACUACUUUGUCUUCUCUCUCGCGGGGGCGCGUCAACGCACCCGCUGGGUGUAGCCCCCGAGACUCGGGCCGACUGCUGAGCAGUCGGGCCGAAUCUUCCGGCAACUACUUUGUCUUUUUUCUCGCGGGGGCGCGUCAGCGCACCCGCUGGGUGUAGCCCCCGAGAUUCGGGCUGACUGCUGAGCAGUCGGGCCGGAUCUUCCGGCAAUUACCUUGUCUUCUUCUUCUUCCGGCCAGGUGGGCGGACCCCGACACAGCAGUCGGGCUCUUUGCAGCCGGACAAGCAGCCAGCGGUCGGACGCACACACACAUUUUUUCUUUCUUGCCAAUCGGCCGUGGGCAUCCGGCCAUCUCACCCGGUCACUCCUCUUUUUUUUUGAAGUCGGCCACACAGGCGGAAGUGCAUGCAUAUGUACCCGGCCUUUGCUAUAACCGGACAUGCAUGCGCACCUGGCCAAGCAUGCAUGCAUGUACCAGGUGAAUCCAUACGCGCUUUUUCUUUUUCAGCCGACAGCAUCUCUUGACUUUUCUUUCUCCCCCGGCCGACCUCUUUUUUCUCUCUCUCUUUUUUUCAGCACCCGGUCCUUUUUAUUUUUCUCUCUCCCGGCUGCCCGAGCGACACCGACAGGCUGCGGCAGCGAACAACGGGAGCCGGCUGAGGCGCACCCGGGCGCCCGGAGGUGAGGCGGCGAGCCGAGCACCCGGAGCCGGGUUGUGGUCAGGGCGGAGCGGAGGGGCGCGGCGACCCGACCGCCAGGCGCUGGUGAAGCCGGUCGCGCAGACAGAGUCGGGCGGCGCGGGAGGGAGCCGGCGGCCGCGGGCGCGCGGGCGGAGGCGAAGCCGGCGCGGCCCUUGGGGCUGGACAGCGCGGGGUAGGCCGAGCCGAAGCCGACACGGUGCUCGGGGCCAGAUGGAGGCAAAGCCGGCCGCUGGGGAGGCCGGGCAGGCGCGACGCAGCCGGAGCUGGGCGUGACGGAGGGGCUCGGUGUGCGCGCGAGACGGAGGCGGCCAGGGGCCAGCAGGCGGACGGCGAUGCGGGAGGCGCGCAGCUAGGGAGCGGGGGAGCCGGCCAGGCCGGCCGGGUGGAGGGCGAAGCCGGCAGGCGAUGGAGCCGGCAAGCGGCGGAGCCAGCCGUCCGGCUCGGGGAGGAGACGGCAAGCGGCCGGGGCCGGGCGUGGAGGCCGGCAGCAGAGGCGGCUGGGUUGGGGGAACCGGCCAGGGCGGAGCCGGCGAGCCGGCACGAAAGACCCAGAGGGAAGGAGCCGGACGCUCGAGGCCAGCUAGGCGAGAAGGCGGAGCCGGCGCGGAGGUCCCGGGAGGUCGGACGCCGGGCGGCGGGAGGAGCCGGCCGUCCGGGCUGCGGGCGGGGCCGAGGGAGGUGGCGGCCGGAUCGCGCGGGGAGGCGGCGUCCGGGCCGCACGGAUGGUGGAGCGGGGCGAGCGCGCUCGGGGAAGUCGGCCAGCUCGUCGGAGCCGUGGAGGGGCGAGGCCGCGGGACGGAGAUGGCGCGGAGGCCGGGUCGCGGGCGCCAGCCGGCAGGCGCGCGCAGGAGCCGGCUUGGGUAGGAGCCGGACACGGCAGAGGCGAGGCGGACGCGGGAGGAGGCGCGAAGCAGCCGACGCAGGGCGAUACAGCCGACUGUGGAGGACCCGGCCAGAGUGGCGGGCUGGCGGGCGAGUGCGGAGCAGGGGGCCGGGGGCGCACCGACCCGGAGCUGGCCGGGCGGGCGGCAAGCCGGCAGGCGCAGGGGGCCAGCGCGGCAGGGGAGGCCGGGGCCUGCGGGCGAGGACGCGGAGCCGCGCACAGGCGAAUCCGAACCAGCAGGGGUGCGCGCAGACGAAACUCCGACAGCAGCGAUGCUCGAGCAAGCAACAGUAAGAGCAGUAGGAGGCAUCGGCUGCAGCAAUGGAGGGAGCAGCAGCAUUCUAGCAGCGGGCACGGAGCGCACGGGCGUGGCCAAGGCAAGCCGAGGGAUGGCAGCAUGCACAGGGAGGCGCGGCCAUGACGCAGCGUAGAGAUUUUUGGUGGAGUAUGUCUUGGGCGUCAACUGUAUAGGCAACGCGUGACCAUGGUUGACUGAUGCAUCUAGCUAGCUUGUAGAUGAUAUAUGGAGGCCGGAGCAAGGCGCAACACGAAGGAAAGCAGGCGCGAGCGGCGCGUGGACGGCCACGGUCGACCGAAACGAGGCCCCGCGCGCGGCGUGCGCGCGGACGUGCAGCCGGCGUCGCAACGAUGGUGGUGAAGAAGGCGAGGCCGACGGCGAGGUCACGCCGCCCCUCACGGCCAUUCCGGGGGCAUGUCAAUGUCGAGCCCCCGACCGCAAUCGAAGAGACGGCGCGACGCCGCGGUGGUGAAGACGAAGAGGCCGACGGCGAGGACGCGGCGCCCCUCAAGGCCAUUCCGGGGGCAUGUCGAUGUCGAGCCCCCGACCGCUAUCGGAGAGACGGCGUGACGCCGCGGUGGUGAAGACGAAGAGGAUGACGGCGAGGGCGCGCCGUCCCGCCCGGCCGCUCCGGGGGCGGGUUGAAGUCGAGCCCCCGAGCGCUACCGGAGAGACGGCGCGACGCGGCGGAGAUGACGAAAAUGGUCCCGCCCGGACAGCGAAACCAGCAGCACCGCAGUAGCAUGUACCGCCCCACGGUGGGCGUCAACUGUCGUGGUAUUUCUCACAGGGGGCUUGCGAGUCGACAGAUACCACAAGGGCUUAGUGUGUGGGUAAGACUGCUGCUGAUAGGACCGGGAGCGGGUAUGCGAGUAGCACGCGGUAGUUUACCCAGCUUCAGAGCUCUUCGAAGAGAUAAUACUCCUACUGCUGCAUGUCUGAGUAUAUCUGGUAUAUCUGGUACAGAGUUGCUCCUAGAGCUGUAUCUGAGGUCAGUGCCAUAGGCAUCUAGCCUCGUAUAUGCCUGUAUGAGGCAUGCUAGUGGCCGGCCAUGCAUGACUAUGGCUUGUGGCCGUGAGUGUGUUUGUCUCCAUGUGUGUAUGAAUGGAUGGAUCGUUGCUAGCUAGCUUGCUUGCUAGCUUGCGUAUAUGCUAGGCCUUGUGCCCGUGAGUGUCCACCAUCCUGGAUGGAUGGAUGAGUGCCCCUUUUAUAGUGUGGGCUAGCUUACUAUGUAAGCUAUGUGGGUAGGCAUGGGUAAGGCAUGGUGCAUGUCAUGCUUGUUCCCUAGGUCAUUUUAUAAAUAGUGUCAGGGGACAAGUGACACUGUAUAUGAUGUCGUCGCGGUACGAUUGUUUUGUCCGCGGUACAUCUGUCUUGUCGGUGUCGGGUCGGGCUGCAGUCGGCAGCCGACUGGUUGGCGCAGUCGGCAGCCGGCUUUCAGACUGAGGGGCUUUGCUAGCCCCGAUGUCUUGAAAUAUCGUCUCGCCGUCUUCGGGGUAUCACUGUCCAAUUACUCCGACAGUGCAUUAAGGACAUAAGCCUUCUAUGAAGCAAUGAGGACAAUCCUCAGUUUACGGACCUAGUCCGCAUAAUUGCUACUAUCAACUUUCAACUAAAUUUUCUCUAGGAACAUAUCUAAACAGUAGAACUGAAGCGCGAGCUACGACAUAAUUUGCGAAGACCUUUUGACUAUGUUCAGGAUAAUUAAGUUCAUCUUAUGAACUCCCACUCAGAUAGACAUCCCUCUAGUCAUCUAAGUGAUUACAUGAUCCGAGUCAACUAGGCCGUGUCCGAUCAUCACGUGAGACGGACUAGUCAACAUCGGUGAACAUCUUCAUGUUGAUCGUAUCUACCAUACGACUCAUGCUCGACCUUUCGGUCUCUUGUGUUCCGAGGCCAUGUCUGUACAUGCUAGGCUCGUCAAGUCAACCUAAGUGUUUCGCGUGUGUAAAUCUGUCUUACACCCGUUGUAUGUGAACGUUAGAAUCUAUCACACCCGAUCAUCACGUGGUGCUUCGAAACAACAAACUGUCGCAACGGUGCACAGUUAGGGGGAACACCUUCUUGAAAUUUUAGUGAGGGAUCAUCUUAUUUACUACCGUCGUUCUAAGCAAAUAAAAUGUAUAAACAUGAUAAACAUCACAUGCAAUCAAAUAGUGACAUGAUAUGGCCAAUAUCAUAUUGCUCCUUUUGAUCUUCAUCUUCGGGGCUCCAUGAUCAUCAUCGUCACCGGCAUGACACCAUGAUCUCCAUCAUCAUGAUCUCCAUCAUCGUGUCUCCAUGAAGUUGCCUCGCCAACUAUUACUUCUACUACUACAACUAACGGUUAGCAAUAAAGUAAAGUAAUUACAUGACGUUUAUGUUGACACGCAGGUCAUAAAUAAAUUAAGACAACUCCUAUGGCUCCUGCUGGUUGUCAUACUCAUCGACAUGCAAGUCGUGAUUCCUAUUACAAGAACAUGAUCAUCUCAUACAUCACAUAUAUCAUUCAUCACAUCCUUUUGGCCAUAUCACAUCACAUAGCAUACCCUGCAAAAACAAGUUAGACGUCCUCUAACUGUUGUUUGCAUGUUUUACGUGGCUGCUAUGGGUUUCUAGCAAGAACGUUUCUUACCUACGCAAAAACCAGAACGUGAUAUGCCAAUUGCUAUUUACCCUUCAUAAGGACCCUUUUCAUCGAAUCCGAUCCGACUAAAGUGGGAGAGACAGACACCCGCUAGCCACCUUUAUGCAACUAGUGCAUGUCAGUCGGUGGAACCAGUCUUACGUAAGAGUACGUGUAAGGUCGGUCCGGGCCGCUUCAUCCCACAAUGCCACCGAAUCAAGAUUGGACUAGUAACGGUAAGCAUAUUGAACAAAAUCAACGCCCACAACUAUUUUGUGUUCUACUCGUGCAUAGAAACUACGCAUAGACCUAGCUCAUGAUGCCACCGAUGGGGAACGUAGCAUAAAUUCAAAAAUUUUCUACGUGUCACCAAGAUCUAUCUAUGGAGUCAUCUAGAAACGAGGGAGGAGUGGAUCUACAUACCCUUGUAGAUCGCGCGCGGAAGCGUUCAAGAGAACGGGGUUGAUGGAGUCGUACUCGUCGUGAUCCAAAUCACCGAUGAUCCUAGCGCCGAACGGACGGCACCUCCGCGUUCAACACACGUACGGAGCAGCGACAUCUCCUCCUUGAUCCAGCAAGGGGGGAGGAGAGGCUGAUGGAGAUCCAGCAGCACGACGGCGUGGUGGUGGAAGUAGCGGGAUUCCAACAGGGCUUCGCCAAGCGCUGCGGGAGGAGGGAGAUGUGUCAUGGGAGGGAGAGGGAGGCGCCAGGGCUUAGGUUGGGCUGCCCUCCCUUCACCCCACUAUAUAUAGGGCCAAGGGAGAGGGGGAGGUGCAGCCUUGGCCCUUCCUCCAAGGAAGGGUGCGGCCAGGGGAGGAGUCCCUCCUCCCCAAGGCACCUCGGAGGUGCCUUCCCCCUUUAGAACUCUUCCUUUCCCUCUUCUCUUGGCGCAUGGGCCUCUUGGGGCUGGUGCCCUUGGCCCAUAUAGGCUAAGGCGCACCCCCUACAGCCCAUGUGGCCCCCCGGGGCAGGUGGCCCCACCCGGUGGACCCCCGGGACCCUUCCGGUGGUCCCGGUACAAUACCAGUGACCCCGAAACUUGUUCCGAUGGCCGAAAUAGCACUUCCUAUAUAUAAUUCUUUACCUCCGGACCAUUCCGGAACUCCUCGUGACGUCCGAGAUCUCAUCCGGGACUCCGAACAACUUUCGGGUUACCGCAUACUAAUAUCUCUAUAACCCUAGCGUCACCGAACCUUAAGUGUGUAGACCCUACGGGUUCGGGAACCAUGCAGACAUGACCGAGACGUUCUCCGGUCAAUAACAAACAGCGGGAUCUGGAUACCCAUGUUGGCUCCCACAUGUUCCACGAUGAUCUCAUCGGAUGAACCACGAUGUCAAGGACUUAAUCAAUCCCGUAUACAAUUCCCUUUGUCUAGCGGUACGAUACUUGCCCGAGAUUCGAUCGUCGAUAUCCCGAUACCUUGUUCAAUCUCGUUACCGGCAAGUCUCUUUACUCGUUCCGUAACACAUCAUCCCGUGAUCAACUCCUUGAUCACAUUGUGCACAUUAUGAUGAUGUCCUACCGAGUGGGCCCAGAGAUACCUCUCCGUUUACAUGGAGUGACAAAUCCCAGUCUCGAUUCGUGCCAACCCAACAGACACUUUCGGAGAUACUUGUAGUGUACCUUUAUAGCCACCCAGUUACGUUGUGACGUUUGGCACACCCAAAGCACUCCUACGGUAUCCGGGAGUUGCACAAUCUCAUGGUCUAAGGAAAUGAUACUUGACAUUAGAAAAGCUUUAGCAUACGAACUACAUGAUCUUGUGCUAGGCUUAGGAUUGGGUCUUUGUCCAUCACAUCAUUCUCCUAAUGAUGUGAUCCCGUUAUCAAUGACAUCCAAUGUCCAUGGCCAGGAAACCGUAACCAUCUAUUGAUCAACGAGCUAGUCAACUAGAGGCUUACUAGGGACAUGGUGUUGUCUAUGCAUCCACACAUGUAUCUGAGUUUCCUAUCAAUACAAUUCUAGCAUGGAUAAUAAACGAUUAUCAUGAACAAGGAAAUAUAAUAAUAACCAAUUUAUUAUUGCCUCUAGGGCAUAUUUCCAACAGGAGCAACAAUUUGGAAUAGCUCCAAGUGGAACGUGGUAGCAGCAUCUAUGAUAUAAAGUUUUGCGAAAUACAUAGGGAUCUGAAUAUGGCAAGACCCGUUGACUACAACCUCUCUCACAAGCAUAACAUGAUCAGACCCAGAACUCAUUGAGUAUUAAUCACAUAGUGAUGUGAACUAGAUUAUUGAGUCUAGUAAACUCUUUGGAUGUUGGUCACAUGGCGAUGUGACCUGUGAGUGUUAAUCACAUGGCGAUGUGAACUACAUUAUUGACUCUAGUGCAAGUGGGAGACUGUUGGAAAUAUGCCCUAGAGGCAAUAAUAAAUUCGUUAUUAUUAUAUUUCCUUGUUCAUGUUAAUCGUUUAUUAUCCAUGCUAAAAUUGUAUUGAUAGGAAACUCAGAUACAUGUGUGGAUACAUAGACAACACCAUGUCCCUAGUAAAGUUGACUAGCUCGUUGAUCAAUAGAUGGUUAUGGUUUCUUGACCAUGGACAUUGGAUGUCAUUGAUAACGGGAUCACAUCAUUAGGAGAAUGAUGUGAUGGACAAGACCCAAUCCUAAGCCUAGCACAAAGAUCGUGUAGUUCGUAUGCUAAAGCUUUUCUAAUGUCAAGUAUCAUUUCCUUAGACCAUGAGAUUGUGCAACUCCCGGAUACCGUAGGAGUGCUUUGGGUGUGCCAAACGUCACGACGUAACUGGGUGGCUAUAAAGGUACACUACAGGUAUCUCCGAAAGUGUCUGUUGGGUUGGCACGAAUCGAGACUGGGAUUUGUCACUUCGUGUAAACAGAGAGGUAUCUCUGGGCCCACUCGGUAGGACAUCAUCAUAAUGUGCACAAUGUGGCCAAGGAGUUGAUCACGGGAUGAUGUGUUACGGAACGAGUAAAGAGACUUGCCAGUAACGAGAUUGAACAAGGUAUCUGGAUACCGACGAUUGAAUCUCGGGCAAGUAUCGUACCGAUGGACAAAGGGAAUUGAAUACGGGAUUGAUUGAAUCCUCGACAUCAUGGUUCAUCCGAUGAAAUCAUCGUGGAACAUGUGGGAGCCAACAUGGGUAUCCAGAUCCUGUUGUUGGUUAUUGGCCGGAGAGGUGUCUCGGUCAUGUAUGGAUGGUUCCCGAACCCGUAGGGUCUACACACUUAAGGUUCGAUGAUGCUAGGGUUAUAGGGAAAGUAUGUACACGGUUACCGAAUGUUGUUCGGAGUCCCGGAUGAGAUCCCGGACAUCACGAGGAGUUCCGGAAUGGUCCGGAGGUAAAGAUUUAUAUAUGGGAAGUCCUAUUUUGGUCACCGGAAAAGUUUCGGGUGCUAUCGGUAACGUACCGGGACCACCGGGAGGGUCCCGGGGGUCCACCAGGUGGGGCUACCUGCCCCAGAAGGCUGCGUGGGCCAAGUGUGAGAGGGGACCAGCCCCAGGUGGGCUGGUGCGCCCCCCCACCAGGGCCCAAGGCAAAGAGAGAAGGGAAAAGGGGGAAACCCUAGGCUCAGAUGGGCCUAAGGCCCACCUAGUGGUGCGCCCCCCUCUCUCCCCCUUUGGCCGCCCCCUAGAUGGGAUCUAGGGCUGGCCGCCACCCCUAGGGAUGGAAACCUAGGUGGGGGCGCAGCCCCUCCCCUCCCCCUAUAUAUACUUGAUGUAUGGGGCUGCCCAACGGGUGUGAUUUGCUCUCCCUGUUGGCGCAGCCCUACCUCUCUCCCUCCUCGUCUCUCGUAGUGCUUGGCGAAGCCCUGCUGGAGUCCCGCGCUCCUCCACCACCACCACGCCGUCGUGCUGCUGCUGGAUGGAGUCUUCCCCAACCUCUCCUUCUCCCCUUGCUGGAUCAAGGUGUAGGAGACAUCACCGGGCUGUACGUGUGUUGAACACAGAGGUGCCGUCCAUUCGGCACUAGGAUCAUCGGUGAUUUGGAUCAUACGAGUACGACUUCAUCAACCCCGUUCACUUGAACGCUUCCGCUUAGCGAUCUACAAGGGUAUGUAGAUGCACUCUCCUUCCCCUCGUUGCUAGAUUACUCCAUAGAUUGAUCUUGGUGAUGCGUAGAAAAUUUUGAAUUUCUGCUACGAUCCCCAACAGCCACCUCAACAAAAUAGUCUAGUUGACAUGCAUGAUACUAGCUAUGAUACUACCAUUACGACCCGUAAGUGCGUAGGAGCACUCGGCGAUGCAGCCCACUGAAAUCCCACCCAUUUAAUUGUCUUGGGAUCAUCACCUCCUAUAUUAGCCCCAGUGUAUUUGCUACAUUUAUUUGCUCGUAUCUGACACGUUCUCUUGUAUGUUGGACCCUGUUCACAUUAGAUAUCACAACUCACAUCCGUUCAACCACAACAACCAGCACCCAGCCACCCAAGAAUGCAAUGAAUGCACACGCUUCUCUUUUCUCUUUUCCCCACCAACCCUUCUUCCCCAGGAGGCCAGGACGUCUUCCUCAUCAAUCAACUUCUGCACCUUCUUCCUCAGUUUCCAGCUCCUUGUUCGCCAUGUUCCAAGCAUGGAACAAAGCUAAUAGGAACUACGAAGACUACAUUCAUCCUGGUUGUCUCCAGAGCACUGCUAGGCGGACGACUGAUUUAGAUGACCAGCGCACGACGAUGAAUCCCAGGCAUGGAAUCGCGUCCAGAACCCACACUCUAUUCGCUGGAAUUUUUAUCAUGUAUAGAUCGGCCACAUGCUGUCGUGUGUGGAGCAAUUCCGCUCCGAGUUACUGCCAUGGUCAGCGACACCACGUCCGCCCUGCACAUCAACAACAAGCCAUGUGUUUCGGCAGCCAGUGUGUGGGAGAAAAUCCAGGAAGAAGACUAUGCCAUCCAUCACAAGCAAAUCAAAGUAGUUGUCUGAGGCUUCGAGUUUGCCGCAUGCCUAUGCAACCAUAGCUAGCGACGCCGCAAGACGCACCCCUGGCUACCAACACCAUGUCAUGUGUUCCUGCACCAGGCUCCAGUAGCUCAGUAGGAUCCGGUAGCUCCGUGUUAGCUCGCAGCAACAACCACGAGUUCCCGGGAACCGCUCGCAAGAGAGGUUGUACAUCCAUCUCUCUGUCCCCUAUUAGUUUUCAUAACGAGGCCGAUGUUCUUCUUCGCUAGGAGCUCAGUUGUUCCCAAAGAACGGACCAAGAGAGAGAGAGAAGAAUCACCAGGUCUAGUCUCACCGAUGUAUACUCGCCGGAGUUCUUCGCGUCGAGAGUUCUCCAGCUGCAUCUCUCUCUCUCUCUCUCUCUUCUGCUUCCUUCUCUAUGCACCUGCACAAGUAGGCUACCAUGGCCAGCAUCUUGUCCGCGAGUCCUCUUUCCGUCACAAGCACGAGGCACUGGCGGGCGUCGUCCGUGGUGUGCCCGCAGCUCGCCGGUAUACCUUGGUGCCAUAUGGCCGCAACGGCUGUUUAUGUACUGACAUGUCCAUUCUUUACUGUUAUAUACUGUUAUAUAAUAACGAGAAUAAACGAGACACGAGAGUACAUGGAUUUUUACAUGGAAACCCUUGCGGGAGAAAACCACGGAUGCGCGAAGGCACAAUCACCAUGAGGAGGAGUAUUACAAGCACGAGACGACAGACCGUCUGAGGUGCGGCUACAUGGGGUAUAUAAGAGGGCAAUACAUGAGAGUCCUUGGAGGACAAGUAAACGAGUUGUACUCGUACGCGUCGACAUCAACGCAAAGGCCCACACCGGUUGUACUACGUCUAGUCCAACACGGUAUAAUUUGGAUCACAAUUUAACAAUCUCCACCUUGAUCCAAAUUUCCUCCAGUAGUCGAAGAAAGUGAAUAACUCCAUCCAAAUCAGCAUAAACACCUUGUGCAUCAAAGUCCAUAGGACUAGUGAGAAAUACCAACUAAGCCUGAGCAAAGCUCAAACUUAUUGGUCGGAACAGGCUUUGUCAUCAUAUCAGCUGGAUUAUCAUGAGUACUUAUCUUGCAUACCUUCAAAUCGCCUUCAGCAACAACAUCUCGAAUAUAAUGAAAUCUGACAUCAAUGUGUUUUGUCCUCUCAUGAUACAUUGGAUUCUUUGUAAGAUAUAUAGCACUUUGACUGUCACUAAAUACGGUAGGGCAAGAUGAAUCUCCACAAAGCUCAGAAUACAAACCUCUCAACCAGAUAGCUUCUUUGCAUGCCUCAAAAUAGCCAUAUACUCGGCAUCAGUAGUGGAACAAGCCACAAUAGACUGCAAAGUUGCUCUCCAACUCACAGCACAACCACCAAUGGUAAAAACAUAACAUGUGAGUGAUCUUCUCUUAUCCAAAUCACCAGCAAAAUCAGAAUCAACAAAACCAACAAGUCCAUCUCCAGUUUUUCCGAACUGUAUAAGCAUUAGAAGUACAUCGCAGGUAUCUGAAAAUCCACUGAACUGCUCUCCAAUGCUCUUUUCCAGGAUUAGCCAUGUAUCUACUGACAACACUCAAUGCAUAUGAUAAAUCAGGACGAGAACAAACCAUGGCAUACAUAAGUGAACCAACUGCACUCAAAUAGGGAACUCUAGACAUGUGCUCAAUAUCUGCAUCUGACUUAGGACAUAAAGUUGAUGAUAAUUUGAAGUGUGCAGCUAAUGGAGUACUCACCGGCUUGGCAUUAUGCAUAUUAAAAUGACGAAGAACUUUAUCAAUAUAUCCCUUCUGACUUAGAUAUACUUUUCCAGACGGUCUAUCUCUGGAUAUUUCCAUGCCAAGUAUUUUCUUUGCUGCACCCAAAUCCUUCAUCUCAAAUUCAUUACUCAAUUGCUUCUUUAGUUCAUUAAUCUCUAACAUACUCUUUGCAACAAUAAGCAUAUCAUCAACAUAAAGGAGCAAAUAAAUAGUUGAACCAUUGACAGUUUUCAAAUAAACACAACUAUCAUAAUUAGACCUUUUGAAAUCUUGAGAGAGCAUAAAGGUGUCAAAUCUCUUGUACCACUGUCUAGGGGGUUGCUUCAAUCCAUAGAGAUUUCUUUAACUUACAGACAAGCUUUUCUUUUCCAGGAAUAACAAAACCUUCAGGUUGUUCCAUAUAAAUAUUCUCUUCUAAUUCUCCAUGUAAGAAUGCAGUUUUAACAUCCAAUUGUUCAAGCUCAAGAUCAUGCAUGGCAACAAUACUGAGUAAAGUGUGAAUAGAGCUAUGCUUCACAACAGGAGAAAAGACUUCGUUAUAGUCAAUACCUGGAAUCUGACUGUAACCUUUAGCAACUAACCUUGCUUUAUAUCUUGUCUCAUCAUUAGGAGAAACACCUGUUUCCUCUUGAAAACCCACUUGCAACGAAUAGGCUUCUUCUCUCUAGGUAAUCUUACUAAAUCCCAAGUGCCAUUCUUUUCAAGUGAUUCUAUCUCAUCAUGCAUAGCAGUCAUCCACUUAUUACUAUCACCAGAAAUAAUAGCCUCGGAACAUGAAGAAGGCUCAACAUUACCUUCAAUUUCUUCUGCAAUAGAUAAAGCAAAAGAAAUAAUAUUGCACUCUUCAAUUAACCUAUCAGGUUUAUUAAUACCCCAUCUAACUCUGUCACGUGCGAGAUUCCAACUGGGCAGAACAAUAGGCUGAUUUGGAGUGGGAGUGACAUGAUCAUCAUUAACGACGGGUUCAUCAUGUGCAUCAACAAUAUCAUUACCAGAUGUAUCACCUGAAUCAAUAACAUGCUCCACCUGAACAGUAGGCUCUUGAACAAUAGGUUGUUGUUCACUCUCAAUGGGAACAUUAGUAGAUGAAACAUCAUGUAACAUAGCAGAUUCAUUAAAGAUAACAUUUCUGCUAAUAACAACCUUCUGGGUUUCAGGAUUCCAUAAUUUAAAACCUUUAACACCAGACUUAUAACCAAGAAAGAUGCACUUAACAACCCUAGGCUCCAAUUUUCCAUUAUCAACAUGAGCAUAAGCAGUGCAACCAAAAACUCUCAACUGUGAAUAAUCAGCAGGUGAACCAGACCAUACCUCAAUUGGAGUUUUCUUAUUAAGAGCAAUAGAUGGUGAAUGAUUAAUGAGAUAACAAACAGUGGAAGCGGCCUCAGCCCAAAAAGGCAUAUGCAAACCUACAUUGGACAACAUGCAACGGGCUCUAGAAAUAAUGGUACUGUUCAUACGCUCAGCAACACCGUUUUGUUGAGGAGUAUAAGGAACGGUGUAGUGUCUGACAAUGCCUUCAGACUUGCAAUAAUUCUUAAAUUGCUUAAAACAGAAUUCCAUACCAUUAUCAGUGUGAAGUAUCUUUACCUUCUUUUCAAUUUGUCUUUCAAUCAUAAUCUUCCACUCCUUAAAUGCUGAGAAUGCUUCAUAUUUAUGCUUCAAGAAAUAAGGCCAAACUUUUCUCGAAUAAUCAUCAAUUAUAGUCAGCAUGUAACUAGCACCACCUAGUGACUUUCUGCGAGAUGGUCCCCAUAAAUCAGAAUGCACAUAAUCAAGAAUACCUUCGGUUGUAUGAGUCGAACUGUUGAACUUCACCCUCUUGUGUUUGCCGAAGAUACAAUGCUCACAAAAUUUCAUUUUACCAGGUUCAUAUCCAUCAAGAAGACCUCUCUUAUUUAACUCUGCCAAACAAAGUUCACUCAUAUGUCCAAGACGCAUAUGCCAAAGGUUAGCAGCAUCACAAUCAGAAUUCUUUGAAAUAACUGGAGUAGCGUUACCUGAAACGGUAGAACCUCGAAGGUAAUAAAGACCAUUGGUCGAACUUAAGUCACCUUUCAUCACAACAAGGGAACCUUUGGUGACCUUCAAAACACUAUCUCCACCUGAAUAUUUGUACCCUUUGCAUCAAGGGCACUCAUAGAAAUAAGAUUUCUCUUCAUAUUCGGAAUAUACCGAACAUCUGUCAAAGUUCUGAUUAUGCCAUCAAACAUCUUGAUUCGAAUAGAACUUAUGCCUUCAAUCUUGCAUGGUGAAUUAUCAAAACCCAAAACGGAACUAGCAGAAGUAGUGGAAUCAAAAGUAUUAAACCAAUCUCUAUGUGGACACAUAUGAAAAGUGCAUGCAGUGUCAAGUACCCACUCAUCAUUGGUCUCAGCAUAUCCAGCAAUAACAACAAGAGCAUCAUCGAAACUAUCAUCAUGAGAAACAUUAGCAGAAUUUUCACCUUGUUUGUUACCUUUCCUCUUUUCUUUAUUCUGCAACUUGAAACACUCAGAGAUGUCAUGCCCGUCUCUCUUGCAAUACCUACAAUACUUCUUGUCUCUGGAUUGCGACCGGCCCCUCUAGCCGUUUUUACUUUUGCCUCUGUUUCCAUUAUUGGAGUUCUUCUCCUUUGUCCUGCCACGAACAGAUAAUCCCUCGGCUUGGGAUGAACUCGAACCAUCAUGAGGCACCAUUAAUUUCAUCUUCUCCUUAGAGUUCAAAGCUUCAUAAACUUCAUUAAGUGUGAGAGUAUCAUGACUGUAUAAUAUGGUGUCUCGAAAAUUGGUAUAAGAACUUGGCAGUGAACAAAGUAACAUUAGAGCAGUAUCUUCCUCUUCAUACUUAACCUCCAUUGCAGCUAGAUCAGAUAUGAUCUCUUUAAAUUCUGAAAUAUGAUUCAAAACAUUACCUCCCUCGGGUAACCUGUGCAGGAAUAAUUUUUGUUUCAGAUGCAUCUUGCUGGUGAGAUCUUUAGUCAUGCUAAUCCCUUCCAGCUUUAACCAUAGAGCGGCGGCAGUUUUCUCGCUCAAAACUCCCUGCAAAAUAUUAUUAUGCAAAUGGAGUUGAAUUUGUGACAAAGCCUUACAAUCAAUUCUUUUCUCCUCAGCAGUCCAGUCCUCAAUUCGGUUCUUCCCAAAACUAUCCAGUGCUACAUCAUAGUCGGCAUGUGCUAACAACGCCCGCAUCUUGACUUGCCAUAGGGUAAACCUUGUGUCACGAUCCAGCAGCGAAAAAUCGUACUUCAUGGAUGCCAUGAGUAGAUAAAUCUGUGUACACAAAGUAGUACAAGCCAAUAGAAAAAAUUCUUGACAAAAUUUAAAGUACGCGGAGCAAAGAACUAGGAACAAUAGCACCUGGUAGCUGGGGUAAUCGAAGACCAAAAACUUGAUCUGUAGCUUGACGUACUAGUAGUCAAAUCACGUAGUGGAUCAGAUGUGAAUUAAACUACUUCUUUGCUUCUGGCCGGCGAGCAGUAGUACUACUAGCUUUUGCUUCGGUUGAUGACAUGGAGCGCAUGAAGUUGAUCGAAUCUGCAGCAACGUCAACUCGUCGGAUGAUGGCCGAAAUCACUGUUCUGACCUUGUCAGCGUUUAUUGUCACAAAAUGAACCCGGCAUGAAAGUAUUUCACGAAUUGACCCUUUUAGAAACGCCAGGGUCCGCAGCCUUUCCACCCAACAUAGAAACGCCGAGCAAGCUAGCGUUUCUGCCCUGGCCCACUGCCAGGCCAAGGAUGCGUUGGCUGCUGACGUGGCAGGCUGGAAAUGCCGACCCAGCUAGUGUUUCUGGAAACGCCAUAAUCAGUGGCAUUUCUGGUGCAGAUAUUUUAGGUGGCCGUGGGGCUUUCACCCAGCACUCACCACUCACUCUCUUCUCCCCCAUUGGCCUAUCCCGAGCUCUUGCCCUUUUCCCCCUUUGUUUCCCUCACUUAGCCCCUCACAAAUCCUUGCAAAUCGAUUGGGUUGGUCCGUGGAUCCGGUGUCAUUUCCGUUCAUUGAGGUAACCUCCUUCAUCUCACAAAUUUGUAUUGGUUGGAUUUGUCCAUUUGGAUUGAUUUGUUCUUGUUGUUCCUAACCCUAGUUUUGAGCAUGGAUCUAUAAUGUGAUGUUUUGAGUAUUGUUGUUCCAAUAGUGUUGCAUUUUGAUGUUGUUGAGCAUACCUUAUUGUGGGUUAUGGCUAAUGUUAAGAUUUAGGGUUAGGGUUAUGGCCAAUGUUAAGAUUUAGGGUUAGGGUUAGGUGUUCUGUUAGCAAUGUGGUAUAUUUAGCAUUGUACAUUUCUUAUACUUAUGUUACCAUUUUUUUAGAUGGACAAGAUUGUGAAUAUUCAUUAUGUUGACAAAGAGGCAUUCAUGAAUGUGGAUAUUGUUGACAAGUAUGAGGAAGUGUUGAUAUUUCUUGAGACCCCUAGUUAUGAAGAGGUUGUGGAAGAAACACGGAUACGAUUAAAGUGGGUGGAUUCAAGUGAUCAAGUUGAAUUAGUAGGAAGAUAUGAUGUUGGGUCGGCACACAAGUGUCGAAUGAAGACAAUGCCUAUCAAGUCCAAUUUGCAUUGGGCUGCAUAUAAGGAGGUUGUUGCAUCCUCAGAAGUCAAGUCACUCGAAGUCUUUGCAAGUAAGGUGGUCAAGUCUCCUCUCUUUCAUGUUGAUUUGAACCAAACCUUAGUAGAUGAUGUGAACCCAGUGAGUAGUGUGCCGCCUAUUGUUGAGUAUAAAGUUGAAGCGGAAGCCAAUGAGUAUCCCCAAUAUGAGUUCAGAGGUAGUGCACCAAUGAAAGAUGAUGGCGAUGACUCCGACGAAGAGUAUGAGAGGCACCACAACAUUGUUGGUGAUGUAGAGGCUGAAGUAAGGCAUCAGGACAUGGAUCCUGACAUUAUCUAUCAGCGUGCUUGUGUGGAUGACUCGGAUGAUGAAGGCUCGGUGAAUGAGUUGGACGAGGAUGGCUUGACUGCGAAAGAAGCAGAGUGGUACACAAAAAUCACUGGUAGGGAUCACAAAGUUCCCUUGUUUUGUGAUGUUAGCCUUGCAGAUAAGGCUAUAGUCGACGGUGGCAUGAGCAAGACAAUUCAGGCUAGACAGUUCCCAAGUAGUACACCCGACGCGAUUUCGACACCAUACGUGAGGAAAGGUUUGAUGUUCGAGCACAUGCUAGAAUUCAGGAUGUGGUUGUGUGAGUAUGUUGUCAAACACCACAGGCCUUUCAUAGUUGUUCACUCGGACUGCAACAAGCGAUACACCGUGAAAUGUGAGGUAGAAAGAUGCAAAUGGAAAGUCAAUGGAAGACUCAUGAAAGAUGGUUGGUGGAAGAUAACUAGUUGCAAAGCCACUCACCAAUGCACACCGCCGGCCGUAGAAGCACGGAAGACACAUCGUCAACUAACAUCGGAAUUCAUUGGUUAUAAAUACCAGAAACAUAUGGACGAGGAUCCAACCAUUAAAGUGAAGUUGUUGAUGAGUUGGAUUGAAGAUAAAUUCGGAUAUAAGGUCAAGUACGGAAAGACAUGGAAGGCCAAGCAAGUCGCUCUCAGAAUGUUGUAUGGUGGAUGGGAACAGGCUUACACCAUGCUACCCAGGUUGCUGGGAGCGAUGUCGUACAGAAACCCAGGAAUGUACCACUAUGUCCAAGAUAUUGAAGGAGUGUUCCGUCGUGCCUUUUGGACGUUUGGCCCAUGCAUUGCAGCUUUUGAGCAUUGUCGACCGGUUUUGUCUAUAGAUGAGACAUUCUUGACAGGGAAACACAAGGGCACACUCAUGAUAGCAAUGGCACAUGAUGCUAACGACCAGGUGUUGCCUGUGGCAUUUGCUUUGGUCUCCGUGGAGAACCAAGACAACUGGGAAUGGUUCAUGAGACUUGUUAGGAGCACGGUCAUUCCUCCGAAUAGGGCGGUAUGCAUCAUAUCCGAUCGGCACCAAGGCAUAUUGAAGGCCGUGGAUAUUCAUAUUCCAGGUCAUGCGAGGCUUCACCACCGGUGGUGUAUGAGGCACUUCGUUGCAAACUUUUACAGGGCUUGUAAGAACAAGGAUCUUUGCAAGGAUCUUAACUCCGCAUGUGUAGCCUUCUCCGUUAAGUCAUUCACGACACGCUUGAAAAAAAUCUAUGAGAAGGCAAACGAAGGUGGGAAAGAUUUCUUAGAAAGGAAUAUUGAUGAGAGACACAAGUGAUCACGGGCAUGUGACGAAGGAGGCAUGAGAUAUGGUGACAUGACAAGCAAUCUAGUUGAGUGCUUCAACUUUGUCUUGAAGGGUUCCCAUCAGUUGCCGGUGACGGCAAUAGCGGAAUAUACCUUUUACAAGCUAAAUGAGUAUUUUUUGAAGCACUCCGACGAAAUCGACAAGUUGAUUGCUGAUAGUGAGAAGCCUCCCAGUGAAAUUUAUCCGAAGAAGGUUGCCGAGUGGCUGGAGUUUCAGAGAGACAAGUCAGCCAUCCAGCGAGUCACUUGUUUCGAUAAUGUAGAAAUGAAAUACCAAGUGGAUGAGCCAGGUGGGACAACUAGAGAUGGACAAUCAUAUGGUGGUCGCUCAUUUAAGGUGGCUCUUAGGACAAGACAUUGCACUUGUGAGCGGCCUAGUAAGUACCACUGGCCAUGCUCGCACAUGAUGUCGGCGGCCCGCAUCAGGAAUGUGGAUAUCUCCGAUGGAGUAGUUGUGAGGUUGCAUGAAUUCAAUUUGCAAACUCAUAAGUUAACAUGGGCGUCUAGAUUCCACCCUUUUCUGGACGCAUCGCAGUGGCCAGAGUAUCACGGUCCUAACAUUAGGCCCGAUCCGGAGAUGAUGGUACAACCCAAGGGUAGAAGGAGAACAAAGCGAUACAGGAAUGAUAUGGAUGACCUCAUGAGCACCAAAGAAUUUGGUAGUGGACAUUUCAUGGAGCCACGUGAUAGGAACCAAUGCGGUGGUUGCAAUGAAACGACACACAACAAAAGGACUUGCAAAACAAACAAAACUUCAAAAGGGCACAAUGCUUCUUCAAGUGGUGGACGAGGUUCCGGUGAUGGCCUUGGUGGUGGCCGAGGUUCCGGUGGUGGCCGAGGUUCCGGUGAUGGACUUGGUGGUGGCCGAGGUUCCGAUGGUGGCCUUAGUGGUGGCCGAGGUUCCGGUGGUGGCCGAGGUUCCGGUGGUGGCCGAGGAUCCAGGGUGGUCGUGGUCGAGGACGAAUUACCGGUGAUGGUGCUCGUGGUAGGGGUAGAGGUUCGGGUGGUGGUAGAGGAGGUUUCAUGGGUAGAGGCUGUGGUAAUGCUAGAGGAAUGUUUGGAUACCUAGAUGGACCAUUUCCGUACGUGGCUACAUUUCAUAAUUAUUUUCAUGUCUCCCAAUAUUACUUUCAUGUUGUUCUUGUCCUUACUAACUAAUGUCUUGCAAUUUUUCAUAGGUAUGGCGGCUUCUCAACCCAACAAGGCAACAAUGAAGGGGCUUGAGGAUGGCAAAGGUGAGAUGGAGGGAUGGUGGGAGAAGGCUGCGAAGAAGCUUAGAGAGGAGGAUGCAGCCAAGCUAAAGAAGAAGAAUGAAGAGGAACUUGAGAAGAAGAGGAAGGAAUUAGAGAGAGCGAGAAAUGCGAUGUAUGCUAGGGAGCAAGCGUUGGUGAGGAAAUGUGAGGAGGCACAGAAAAAGCGUCAAAAGGAUUUUGUAGAAAAAACCUUGAAGCUUUGGGCAAUUGCAGAUGAAAAAAAAGAGAGGGAGAAUCAUAUAUUCAUGGAGAGGGUGGUCAAGGAGGCUCACCUCAUAAGGAAAAUGGAGGAGGAAGAAGAAGAAGAGAGGAAGAAGAAGAAGGGAAAGGGGCCUUGCUCUACACAAUAGAGCAAUGAUGUGAACCGUGCCAUGCUUUGGACCUUCGUGUGCAUUUCAUCUUGAACCUUCUUGUUGCCUAGACUCCUUUAUGUGGUGAACUAUGUGUACUCUAAAUUGCUUUGGACUCCUCUAUGUGUAAUCCUUUAUGUGGUGAACUAUGUGAUGUCACAAUUGCUUUGGACUCCUCUAUGUAUACUCCUUUAUGUGAUGUCACAAUUGCUUUGGACUCCUCUAUGCUUACUCCUUUACGUUAUGUGGUGAACUGUGUGUACCACAAAAGGCUUUGGAGUUUGUUUUGACACCCUGUUAUGACAGCAAUGCCAAACAAAUGGGCGUUUCUCUAUACACCCGAAACGCCAACGACCCUGGCGUUUCCACCAUACAACGAAACGCUCUGCGUGGCUUGGCAUUUCUGGAAGACAGAGGCUGGCUGGGACAUGUUCACUAAACGUUGCCGCUCACCCCAGAAACGCCAAUGUCCAUGGUGUUUCCACCCUACAACGAAACGCUCUCAGUGGCUUAGCGUUUCUUUAAGACAGAGGCUGGUUGGGACAUGUUCACGAAACGUUGCCUCUCACACCUGAAACGCCAUUGUCCAUGGUGUUUCUAAGCCACAGAUAAACGCCAUUGUCCUUGGCGUUUCUUUCCUGUUAUGCAGAACACAGCAAACCCUGCUGCCCAUGUCCAUUCCAUCACAAAUAGCAAAGGUAUAACAACAGUUUUCACAAUAUAAUGCCAAGUACAACAACAGUAUAGCAAUGAGACAUAUUUUCGGCAACGAACUUAACAUGAUCCAACUUACAUAAUAAUUACCAAGUCUUGCUAACAUAGAACUAAGAAGUCCAUCAGACAUAAAACAUAACAAGUUCAUCACAUAUAGAACUAACAAGUUUGCUCCAUCUGAAACGCUCACUACAUUUCUAGUUCACCACAUAUAUAACUAACAAGUUCGCAUUAGUCAUCACUUCACUUCUUGCCUCUUUUUGCAGCCAUCUUCCCCUGUUGACGUAGCCCUCUGGAGUGUUCUGCCAUCCAGGACAUCGGAUGGUUCUUGAGCUAACUCGGCGUGCUUCUUCAGAAGGCUGAGAAGGUUGAGUUGGCGGUAGAGCAUCUUCCAUCUGCGAAGCCGCAAGCUCCACAUAGUCCGGAUCCGCAUCGUAGUCUGUCUCCUCCUCUUCAUCAAUCCGUGCUCGGCUCGAAGAAGCACCUGCUCGGCUGGAAGAUGGAUGAGCGGAAGAAGCACGUGCUUGGCUCGAAGAUGGACGAGCGGAAGACAGCACAUCCAUUCUAUACUGAGCACGUGCACGCACAUCCAUGGAUGAACCGCCAUGGCAAGAAAGUAAAGCGGCUAGUGUUCGGCAACGAUUGACAACCUUCUGCAGAGACAAAGACAUUGACAUGUAAAUAUGCAAAAAUAGUUCACAUGACACAUGUUCAUAUUAAGAGGGCCUCUAACCUGUAGAGUACUCCUAACGAGAACGUCUGUUUCUCUACCAGGUGCGCGGCCAAGCACCACAUUACUAUCAUUGAUACAUCUCCAUAGCUCCGUGCCCUGAAUAAAACUUAAGUGACACACCACUCAUGAAGAAAUGUCACAUGUUCAAAAAAGAGACAAAAAGACAUACCACUCGGUCAUGCAAAGGGCCAUAAUCUAGGUGCGCUCCAAUGGUCUCCCUAAUAGAGUUGUUGAAUGCACCAUCAGCAACCUCACUUGGCAUUACUUUCAAGCAAUCGACACGAGUCCAAGCACCCUUAAGGAUAACUCUGUACUCUUUGCGAAGCCACUCCAAAUGCCUUAAAUAUGCCCCCUCGUCGUUGUCAGGUGUGUGAUCAUCUUCAACUCGGGCAUUCCUCUGAGCAUUCCACAUGUCCACCCACAUAAGAUGGUGAUCCUCCCAAUUAAUGACAUUCUUGUUGUGUUGCCGGCUCGUCCUACAAAGCAUGAGAAGUAUCGGCAUCAUUUUCAUUUUUCCGUGGUUACACAUUGAUCAACAUAUGGUACAAGAAACUCUCACCUAUGUAGCACCACACUUGUCUCAACAUACUCUGGCGGGGUGCGUUGUUGUACUCCAAAUUGCUUCGAAACAUGAUGUGGAAGAUGCCACUCCACCGCAAAAAAGCAUAUCAUGGGGCAACGCACACGCCAAAGAUGUUGGUCACGGAGGCACAUAUUGCUCAAAGGGAACUGUCUAAGUACCAUGUACGGCCUCCAAUUAACCUACAUCACAACAUGUCACUAGCUAUUACCUGGUUGUAAGUAAGCAUGUCAAGCUCGCUUAUGUAUGCCUUAUACCGCCCCAUGGCGGCGAUACUCGACACUUGGACAUUAGCCCACAUGUAUGCGAUAGUGGGAUAUCGCUCCUCAUCCCCGUCAAAAGGCCACUCCCAAGGUUCUUCCGGAGCAAUGGUGAAGUUACGGCCCACAGGGAUACGCUCCCACAUCCAAAUCUGUAGGGCCCAAACAAAACCACCAAGACAAGAUUUCGGCUUACUCCUCAUACAUGCUCCGUCCAACUGCACAUUUGUACACACAUUAAACAAUCACAGGAAAAAAUUUCUUUCAUAUAAUGAGAAUGCAUCAAAUUAUCAUUACCUGACGGUACAAGAAGGCUAGUGCCGCCGACCCCCAACUCCACUUGACAUCCCAGUUACGAAGAGGGUCCAAGAACAUCCACGAGGCUGUGUCUCCCGUGCCGUCAGGAAACACCACUUGGAUCAAAAGAUUCCAUAAGUAAGCCCUGGCGUACCUCUCCACAACAGCCGGACUGGCAUUCUCUGGGCACUCGUAAAAAUGUUCUUGUAGCCACGAGAACAAAACACCAGAUGGCCUAGGACCCUUCUUUGUUUCAUGAAUCCACGGGGGAGGUUCAACACCAACCAAACCUGCGACCCUUUGUCGCCACCCCUCAGACUUCACCUUCCCGGUAAGAGCCCUACCCUCGAUCGGAAGACCGGAGAUCAUCGCAAUAUCCUCCAAAGUAACGGUCAUCUCACCAAGAGCAAGGUGAAAAGAGUGCGUCUCCGGUCUCCAACGGUCCGUAAGGGCGGUAAUGGCCGUCGAGUUCAGCCAUGGUGGUGUGCCUUUAAAGUUGAGCACAAACUGGAGAAGAUCCAUUCUUCUAAAAUAAGGCUCAUAGCGACAGUCAUACCUCAAGGACUCACGUGGGUUGUGGCCUCUCAAACGAAGUACUGGAGGAACCUACAAAUAACAAACGCACAAUUUAUAUACUUUUCUAAACUACUCACAAUAUGAGAAUCAACAAUGUAGAUACAUAAUUACCUCCCCUCUUUCCACUAGCACAGCACGAUGCUUCUCCUCGUAAUAAUCAUCAAGGCCGGGAUAUUUAUCCGGCUCAAACAUCCUACAAAAUAAGGUCAAUGGAUUUGUUAUGAUAUAUGCUUAAAAUUAUGACCGCAUCAUAUACAAAAUCGUGUGAGAACUAUUACAAAUUAUCUCAAAGAUACAAAUCACGAACGACAUUACCGACACCAAUUCUUUCCAACCUAUUUUAUCCUAAAAAAUCUAUCACAACUAAUUAUUAACAAAUAAUACGCUCAACCUAAUCCAAAAAAAUGGCCUCUCUCUAAAUCCAAUAAUAAACAAGUUAACUAAGAAUACUUAAACACUAGGAGUAUAUGUCUUCUUUCUAAACAUAAUGUAACCAAAAUAUUCGUCAAACAAAUCACUAAUAACUCAUCUUAGGGUUCCACCAUGUUUGAAAAAAUGCAUCUACAAUAGCCAAUCUUGACUGAAAAUAAAUGAAGGAUUGGGAAGAGAAUACCUCAAGCAACUCGGGGAUGCUCCGAUCUACUCGUUUUGAUGAUUAAAAUAGCAGAUCUGGGGGAGAUUUGGUGAAGAAGAGGGAGGGGGCCGCCGCCAGUUCGUCGUGGAACCAGAACUGCUCGACCGGGGGAGUGGGCUGGGUUAGGCCCCCGCGGCCCGCGCGCGUUACUUAAUCCUGGUCAGAAACGCCAAGAACCUUGGCGUUUCAAGCGUGCCACGUCAGCGAAAACAGCGGGUUCAGACUGACUGUGGGCCAGGGCAGAAACGCUAGCUGCCUCGGUGUUUGCGUGUUGGCUUGGAACGCUAGCUUGCUCGGCGUUUCUAUGUUGGGUGGAAACGCCACGGACCCUGACGUUUCUAAAAAGGUCAAAUCACGAAAUACUUUCUCGUCGAGUUUAGUUUGUGACUAUAAACACUGACAAGGUCAGAAUAGUGAUUUCGGCCUCGGAUGACUCGGUACUUGAAGUCUGUACGUAGAUCAGCAGUCUCGGGUGCUAGCGACGACCGGCCAAAUCGACUUCGUGUCAAUCUCGGUUACGGGCGCGCGCACAAGGAAAAUCCUGUCGGUCUUAGUCGUGGAAAUUGAUCUAACGGAUCGAUGAAUCGUCAGAGACGCGUGCGGCUGCGCACAUGAUGUAACCCUAAUCUCUCGUCUCAAAAAUCUUGUAUCUAAAACCUUAGCUCUGUAUACCACUUGUUAGAUAAUAACGAGAAUAAACAAGACACGAAAGCACACAAAUUUUUACGUGGAAACCCUUGCGGAAGAAAACCACGGACGCACGAAGGCGCAAUCACUAUGAGGAGGGGUAUUACAACCACGAGACGACAGACCGUACAGGAGCCAGUACUAUGUGAUGCAUAGGUAUGCACUGUGCGCAUGUACGGUUCGGCAGUGUAUUCACAUAUGCGAAAUGAUUACUGUAAAACAUGAAUGUAUCCGCAGAUAGCAGCGUGAUGGCCUGGAUUACAGAAAGAUGCGGCUCUGUGUGCUCCUCGGCCGCCUCCCAUUACGACCAACCUUAUAUACUCCCUUCAUCUCCAAAUAUAAGAUGUUUCUUGAGUGUCAAAAAUCGUCUUAUAUUUGGAGACGGAAGGAGUGCCAAACUGCUUCCCCUACUUCUUGCGUGCCCAUUUCACAGAGCACGGCUCACGCCUCCGCCGCUGCCGCCGCCGCUCAUCCUCCUCAUCUCCAUCUCCUCCUCCGCCGCCGCCGCUCAUCCUCCAUCUCCUCCUCCUCCUCUACGUAGCCGACGCACGGCUUCCGCCUUCGCCAUUCUUCCUCUUCCAUCACGCCCGGGGCGCCACUCCUCUGCCACGCCCAUGUCCGGCGUCUGCCUCCGCCGCCGCCUCUCCUCCACCUCCACCUCCAACACGCCACCCUCACCUUCCUGGUCACCCCAGGCCGCCUUUGCCGCGGCCACGGAGCGCGCCCGCGCCGGAACGCUCAGCCCUCAAGACGCACACCACCUGUUCGACGAAUUGUUUCGGCAGGCCACUCCGGUUCCCGAGCGCUCCCUUGAAGGAUUCCUUGCCGCCCUCGGCCGUGCUGCAUCCUCUGAAGCCUGCAGAGACGGCCCCUCCCUUGCCCUCACUCUCUUCAACCGUCUCUGCCGAGAAGAAGCCGGCCGGCGGGUGGCGCCGCCCACAAUCUACACCUACGGCAUCCUGAUGAACUGCUGCUGCCGCGUGCGUCGUCCAGACCUAGGGCUCGCCUUCUUCGGCCGCCUCCUAAGGACCGGCCUCAAAACAAAUGAGGUCGUCGCCAGCACCCUCCUCAAGUGCCUCUGCUGUGCAAAACGGGCAGAUGAAGCUGUGAACGUGCUGCUUCAUAGGAUGUCCGUCCUCGGCUGUGUGCCUAAUUCCUUCUCAUACAACAUAGUUCUAAAGAGCUUAUGUGAUGACAGCAGGAGCCAGCGAGCGCUCGGCCUGCUCCAGAUGAUGGCAAAAGGAGGUGUCUGCUCCCCCAACGUUCUGUCAUAUAACACAGUCAUCCACGGCUUCUUUAAGGAAGGUGAAAUAGACAAGGCCUGCAAUCUAUUCCAUGAAAUGACGAAGCAAGGGUUUGUGCCUAAUGUGGUGACAUAUAACUCGGUUAUCAAUGCAUUGUGCAAGGCCCGAGCAAUGGACAAUGCAGAGUCGUUCCUUCGGCAGAUGGUUGAUAACGGUGUUCCACCUGAUAAGGUGACAUAUACUAGCAUCAUCCAUGGAUAUUCCACUUUGGGCCGAUGGAAAGAGGCAACUAAAAUGUUCAGAGAAAUGACAAGCAGGGGUCUUAUACCAGAUAUUGUCACUCGGAACUCAUUCAUGGACUCACUUUGCAAGCAUGGAAGAAGCAAAGAAGCUGCAGAAAUUUUCUUUUCCAUGGCUGCAAGGGGCCACAAGCCUGAUAUCGUCUCCUACACUAUUCUUCUCCAUGGGUAUGGCAAUGAAGGAAGCUUUUCUGAUAUGAUGAGUCUCUUUAAUUCAAUGGAAGGCGGCGGUAUUGUGGCCGAUUGCCAAGUUUUCAACAUAUUAAUUGAUGCAUAUGCUAAACGAGGAAUGAUCGACGAAGCUAUGCUCAUAUUUACUGAAAUGCUAGGACAAGGAGUCAAUCCGAGUGUAGUCACCUACUCAACUCUGAUAGCUGCACUUUGCAGAACAGGUAGGCUAGCUGAUGCUAUGGAUAAGUUUAGUCAGAUGGUUGGUACGGGAGUACAACCGGACACAGUUGUUUAUCACUCCCUAAUUCAGGGUUUCUGUACACAUGGCGAUUUGGUCAAAGCGAAGGAAUUGAUUUCUGAAAUGAUGAAUAAAGGUAUUAUUUGUCCAAACAUUGCAUUCUUCAAUUCAAUAGUAGACAGUCUAUGCAAAGAAGGAAGGGUUAUGGAUGCACACCAUAUCUUUGACUUGGUUAAAGACAUAGGUGAGAAACCUGAUGCCAUCAUGUUUAAUACGCUAAUUGACGGAUAUUGCUUAGUUGGUGAGAUGGGCAAAGCAUUCAUGGUACUUGAUGUCAUGACAUCAGCUGGCAUUGAGCCUGAUGCCAUUACGUAUAGUACACUUGUCAGUGGAUAUUGUAAAAGUGGAAGGAUCGAUGAUGGGUUGAUUCUGUUCAGAGAAGAAAUGUUGCAUAAGAAAGUUAAACCAACAAUUGUUACAUAUAACAUCAUAUUGGAGGGGUUAUUUCGUGCUGGGAGAACAGUUGCUGCAAAGAAAAUGCUCCAUGAAAUUAUCGGAAGUGGGACACCUGUGAGCAUGCAUACAUACGACAUAUUUCUUAGAGGACUUUGUAGAAAUAAUUGCGCGGAUGAAGCGAUCGUCCUAUUCCAGAAAUCACGUGCAAUGAAUGUGAAGUUCAAUAUCACAACACUCAAUACCAUGAUUAAUGCAUUCUACAAGGGUGACAGAAGAGAAGAAGCUAAUGAUUUGUUUGCUGCAUUACCAGCCAGCGGGUUGGUGCCUAAUGCUUCCACUUACGGAGUAAUGAUACAAAACCUUCUAAAAGAAGGAGCAGUGGAGGAAGCUGACAAUAUGUUCUCAUCAAUGGAGAAGAGUGGUUGUGCUCCUAGCUCUCGUCUUGUGAAUGAUGUCAUUAGAACUUUAUUGGAAAAGGGGGAGAUAGUCAAGGCCGGAAAAUAUAUGUCUAAAGUUUAUGGGAAGAGCCUAUCACUUGAUGCUUCAACUAGUUCGUUGUUGUUGUCUCUCUUUUCAGGGAAUGGGAAAUAUCGGGAACAAAUACAAUUGCUCCCUGCAAAGUACCAGUUUUUCGGUGGAAUCAGUUGAUGCACUGGACUUGGCAGAUAAGCCUUGUCAUGGUUCGGAGUUCUCUCUCAACGAUGUGGACAAGAGUCUCUUCCAUGCGCUCACCAAGAUUGAGCUGGGUGAUGGUGCCACCAUGGUGUUCUUGGCCGGUGCUUAGCUGCUAGGCGUGCAUCCAAUGUGCAAUGUUCCUAAUCUGCAAGUCUUCUCUACGCAAGGGCUGUAUGGUACGUGAUGCGUUUGAUAAUGGUGAAAAGAUAACUAAUAGUCAGGGGCAUAUCACGGUGGAUGUUAAUACUGAGUUCAUUGAGUUCUUUGCUACUGUAUUAGGCUGUUUUGAGUUCUCUGAACCUGAGCAUAUCUACUGCAUGUUGGGCUGAGGGUAAUUAUAAUGAACCUGAGCAUAUCGAUGGACUAUUCUAUGUUAUCAAGCUAUUUGGUGUUAACUGAACCUUCAGCACCAACAACUUACAGUGAUGGAGAGUUUAAUAAUUUUACUACCUGAACGAAAACUUGAGCUAUUAAAACCCAGAAAUCCGUUGGUGCUCCCGGCCUCCCGGGAGCGCACGCUCCUGCACGCGAGAAAAAUAUUUAAAAGCGUGAAAAAAUUCCAAACAAAAAUUUGGUGCAUACAUCUAGACAUAUAUGUGUGCACCUCAAGUUUCGGAGAAAACCGACAUUUUUUGUGGCUUGUGUAAAAAAGACAGAAGGAUGUCUUGUGAAAAGCAUUUUUUAACACCGGAUUUUGUCUUUUUCACAUGCGACACAUAAGUUGUCGGUUUUUCGCAAAAUGACUUUGUAAGCAUGUAGAAUAUCGAGAUGUACGCGCCAAAUUUUUGUUUAGAAUUUUUUGAUAUUUCAAAAUAUGUUUAAAACACAUUUUAAAAACCAGGAGCGUGCGCUCCCAUGUGCUAAAACACCAAAGGGACCUCUUUCUUCUUUCUUCGACGUGAGAGGAGCCUGUGUACAGCCCUCUUGCUUCAAUUUCCUAAAAAAAAUGGUACCUCGAUAGCAAGUUUAGUAAUUACUCAUGGUGAUCUGAACAGAAAAUAGUGAGCUUGAGUUGUUAAGGAAACAGCCACCGCCAGGAACCCAUUCUGCAAGAUCUGAAUAGAAAGAAGCCAUGCUAUCAGAUUCAGUUGGCCACUCUGUUCCCGCCAGUGUGCUCCAUGAGUUGAUGGCCAUAUAAAUUCCUAGUUGAUAACACAGAUCCGUAAAUAACAGUUCAAUGCCAUGUCUGAAUGGCCCUUGCUGAUCAUUUUUGUGUGUGCAUAUGUACGUGUGUAACUUGACACUUGGGGAAAGCGAUCUUAUUUUUGUAGCGAGGCCUACUUUCCUCUUAAGUUUACAGUUCCUGGUAUUCCUAUGUGUGCAUACUUUGAGCUGGACACAGAGAGCAGCAUUACUUACAUGUUUCCUUUCUAGGUAUCUCAAAAGGAAGACUGUUUAUGUGCGCAAUAUCUUUUUAUCUCGAAAAAAGGUUAUCGAAUUGUUCUGUCCUGUGACGGGGAUAGAAUUUCGUAAGUGCAAGUUAUUUGCAAGUUGGACUGGAGGAUUUACCUAUUCUAUUUAUUGAAUUUAACUGUUGUACUGUGAAUUGUACUUAGUUGACUUACUCUUCCAUAUAGGACGGUCCUUCUGGUUCUGGGAGUUCCGUUCCCUUCUUUUUCUUUUCUUUUCUAUGUCGGUUUUACUUCUUUCUUUAUUUAUUUUUAUCUUCGUUUCCAUACCUGUUGUAAAAUUAACUUUGGGGAGAUUUUUUUUGCUUUUUUAUCUCUAUCGGGUUUUACUUUUUUUUUCAUUUUCCAGUUUAUUUUCAUAUCUGUUUUCUUUCUUCCGUCAAUAUUUUUCAAGUUUAUGAAUACUCUUUAUAUUCAGGGACAUAUUUUUACUUUGUAAACAGUAUUCAAAUACAUAAAAGUUUUCUUCAAAAUUGUGAACAUUUUUCAAAAAAUUAUAGAUUUUUCAUGUCCGCGAACACUUCUAAAUUUACAAACAUUUUUACAUCCAUGAUUUUUCUUUAAAUGUACUAAUCCCUCCGAUCUAAAUUAACUGAUGCCGCUUUAGUACAACUUUAGUACAUAGUUGUUCUAAAGCAGCGUAAAUUAAUAUGGAUCGGAGGCGGUAUUUACAAAACUUCAUGAACAAUUUUAAAACUCAUGAUCAAUUUUUUUACAUUUUUUUAGAAUUAAUGAAUUGUUUUCUUCAUUCAUGAAUUUUUUAAAAAUUUAUGAAGAUAGAUUAAACCCACGAAUGUUUAAAAAAAAUAUGAACAUUAUUCGUAACUAAAAAUAUAAAAUAAUAGAAAGUAUUCUAAUAGAAAAUAAAAAAUUUAUUGAAAAGCGAGCAGAAAGAAAUCGCCAACGCAAAAUACAUAGUGCUCUAUGGGUAUUUAAUGAAAGACCAACCAAAAUAAAAUUAAAUGUCGACUGAAAACAAACCGAGGGAAAAAUGUGAGUACAAUACGCACGUAGCGCUAUAUGGUUUGCUGCCUAGUGUGCUUGCUAUCCUACAUGCUACUCCCUCCGUUCCAAAUUAGUCGUCACAGAAAUGGAUGUAUCUAGAACUAAAAUACAUCUAGAUACAUCCAUUUCUGCGACGAAUAAUUCGUAACGGAAGGAGUACAUGCGGAACAAUAACUCUCACAGUUGUGCAGAAACAAAAUAACUGCAAAUAAUUUUAAAGAAAAAUCUGAAGAUUUUUUGACAUUCAAUUUUUAAAAAUAAAUACAUUAACAAGUGUUUUAAUAGAUAAGAAGGAUCGAAGUCCCAAAUCACGGUAACACCGUGUCGUGCUUCGCUAGUAGUAGCCACAGCCAUAAGCAGUGGCGGAGCUUCAUGGGGUCAACCUGGGCAAUGGCCCCCCAGCUCACAUGAAAACAAACCUAUAUCCAUUUGUAUUAAGCCCUACUUUCUACUAAAAACAGUCAUAAACAAUUACUCUUGNNNNNNNNNNNNNNNNNNNNNNNNNNNNNNNNNNNNNNNNNNNNNNNNNNNNNNNNNNNNNNNNNNNNNNNNNNNNNNNNNNNNNNNNNNNNNNNNNNNNNNNNNNNNNNNNNNNNNNNNNNNNNNNNNNNNNNNNNNNNNNNNNNNNNNNNNNNNNNNNNNNNNNNNNNNNNNNNNNNNNNNNNNNNNNNNNNNNNNNNNNNNNNNNNNNNNNNNNNNNNNNNNNNNNNNNNNNNNNNNNNNNNNNNNNNNNNNNNNNNNNNNNNNNNNNNNNNNNNNNNNNNNNNNAGUCCAUGCCCCUCCAUGUUUUUGGCUCAAGCUCCGCCACUAGCCAUAGGUGUGCCGCACCGUGUCAAGCUCCGAUAACGAGCCACGUCAGCCUCCUUUCUUCUUCUCCAUCGGCCUACUCCUCCAUAAGGAAGCCACCACCGACUGCCGCUUCUUCCCACUCCUCCACUCGUCUCAUGCUCCUUUUUCUCCAUCCACAGCACCAAUGCUCCAACUCCACAAAAUGUUGAAAACUGAUAGAUUUUUAGAGGCAAAAGAGCUCAUGAUAACACACAGCAUGCUGUUUCUUGACCUAUGCGAGAGUGUCGGUUUUGAUACUCUCAUGUGGGACCCAUUAUCGGCAAGAGGAGAAGACAUUAAAGCUCUAGUUAGUAAUUGCAAGGAUUCCAUUUUUCCUAAAUUGAUUAGCAGGAAAGGUGCCCGAUGUCGCUCUGCCAAUUCAUUUUGGUCGUCGACGUGCUCCUACAUUUAACCCCUCGUGACGACAACAGUUGAUUGCCUGUGACGCCCCUUGAUGAUGGACUCCCUUUGCUCCGAUCAUCCGAUAUGCCAAUGACUCUAUUGUCGCUGCUCUGCCGCACCGUGGUUCGGGAUUAGAUUCAAGGAGAACCAUAAGAACAAUGGGGUGUGCAAUUCACUGUAGCUCGACUUCCUGUGGCACAACUAGAAGGACACAAAAUCCAGCAGCUACCUAGUAAGCUGGCCGCAUGUGUGCCACCCGUUGGAGUUUGGCGGCCUUAUCGUGCGCAUUCUGCAUCGCACGGGCAUCUCUCUCUGCACACCCACAGGUUAUGGAUCGAGGCCGCCACUGACCCUAACCACCCCUGGCGUCACCUUCAACCUCCCUCCGACGAUGAGACUAGCAAAUUCUUCUGCAUGUCCACGAUAUGGACCAUUAGCGACGACAAAACUUGUCGCUUCUGGUGCGAUCACUGGUUGGGCGGCCAGUCCAUCUCCGGUUUCGCUCCUCACCUAAUCAACCUCAUCCCGCAUCGCCGCACUAUCGGUUGCGAUGGGCUUGCGAAUCGAAGUUGGAUCAACGAUAUCCAUGACACUCUCGGUCCAGAGGCUACGAUCGAGUACGUGGACCUUUCGCAGCGCAUUUGCCAUGGCAUGCUCACUUAUGCUCCUAACAAAAUCGUUUGGAAGUGGUAACCGAACGACCAGUACUCCGCACGAUCCUGCUACAUGGUUCGACCGCGUUGCCGGCUUGGUGUCUGGUAUGGAAGAGUUGGUCACCCCUCAACAAAACAAAUUCUUCCUAUGGCUCGCGUCCCUCGACCAUUAGUGGACUGCUGACCGCCGCGCGCGUCAUGGCCUCUCGCAUGCCCCUGCUUGUGUCAUGUGCUCUCAGGAGUUCGAGACCAUUGGCUAUCUAAUUUACGGGUGUAUGUUCUCGUGGAUCACUUGGCACAAAGUUCUAUCUUGGUGUCAUCUCCCUUUACCACCUUCGAACGGCACAGCGAGUUUCUUCGAAUGGUGGUCUGAAAUUGCUUCAUCGUCUCCUACCGGCAUGUGCAAAGGCAUCUAGUAUAUCAUCAGCCUAACUAUGUGGCUCAUUUGGAAGCACCGCAACGCUGCAGUCUUCGAUGGCUACGCUCAUCGACUGAAAACCUCAUCAACAAGAUCAAGGAUUAAGCGCCGGUUUGGGCUAGAGUGGACGCUGAGGGCUUGGAUACCAUGUUUUUGUAACCUGAGAUCCUGUUGUACCGAUGCCGACAACCUCCCCCUUCUGCUCCCGUUUGCAUCCUCUUUGACGUCGGUUUGUGUAUCCAAGCGAGAUGAUACGCUCCCAAAAACUUUCAUACUGUAUGCUACGCUUCCAAAAACUUUCAUACUGUAUGAUAUCAUUAAUAAGCAGUAAAAUCGACCAAACAAAAAAGAUGUACAUAACGAAUCAACCUGUGGUUGAGUUGGUUAGGUGGACAGUGGUAUCCCCAACCCACCAGGGUUUAAAUCCUGGUGCUCGCAUUAUUCCUGGAUUUAUUUCAGGAUUUCCGGCGAUGCGCUUUCAGUGGGAGGAGACGUUCCCGUCGACGACGAGGCGCCUACGGUGACUUCGUAAAUCUCAAGAUGAUAUGCCAGCUCAGUCUCUCGGAGGUGCUCAUAGGGGUAGGGUGUGCGUGUGUGCGUUCAUAGAGAUGAGUGUAUGUGCGUGUAUAUGAGCGCUUGUGUUUGUACUGAUGCUAAAAAAAAAAAGAUGUACAUAUACUUGCGCGCCUCCCGGCCGGAGUGUCCCGCAUCCGCAUCCGCCGCCGCCGCUCACCCUCCUCCUCCUCCUUCUCUACCUAGCCGACGUCCGGCUUGCGCCUCCGCAGCUCCUCCUCUUCAUCACGCUGAUGUCCAGCAUCCACCUCCGCCAUUGCUCCACUAUGCCCAUGUCCCGCGUCUGCCUCCGCCGCCGCCUCUCCUCCUUCUCCAACUGCACCUCGCCGCCCUCACCAACCUGGUCUCCCCACGCCGCCUUUGCCGCGGCCACGGAGCGCGUCCGCGCCGGAACGCUCAGCCCGCAAGACGCACACCACCUGUUCGACGAAUUGUUUCGGCAGGCCACUCCGGUUCCCGAGCGCUCCCUUGAUGGAUUCCUUGCCGCCCUCGGCCGUGCCACGCCCUCUGAGGCCUGCAGAGACGGCCCCUCCUCGCCCUCACCCUCUUCAACCGUGUCUGCCGAGAAGAAGCCGGCAUGCGGGUUGCGCCGCCAACCAUCUUCACCUACGGCAUCCUCAUGAACUGCUGCUGCCGUAUGGGUCGUCCGGACCUAGGGCUCGCCUACUUUGGGCGCAUCCUCAGGGCGGGCCUGAAGGCAAACCAGAUCGCCGCCAACACCGUCAUCAAGUGCCUCUGCUGCGCAAAACAUACCGACGAGGCUGUCAAUAUGCUGCUUCAUAGGAUGUCCGACCUCGGCUGUGUACCUGAUGCCUUCUCAUACAACACAGUUCUGAAGAGCUUGUGUGAAGACGGCAGGAGCUUGCAGGCGCUCGACCUACUGCUCCAGAUGGCGUCGAAGGAAGGAGGUGCCUGCUCCCCCGACAUGGUGGCAUAUAGCACGGUCAUCCACGGCUUCUUGAAGGAAGGCAAAGUAGACAAGGCAUGCAAUCUAUUCGAUGAAAUGAUGCGGCAAGGGGUUGUGCCUGAUGUGGUGACGUAUAGCUCGAUUAUCGAUGCAUUGUGCAAAGCUGGAGCAAUGUACAAGGCAGAGUUGUUCCUUCGGCAGAUGGUUGAUGAUGGUGUUCGACCGGAUGAGGUGACAUAUACUAGCAUGAUCCAUGGAUAUUCCACUUUGGGCCGGUGGAAACAGGUGCGUAAAAUGUUCAGAGAAAUGACAAGCCGUGGUCUUAUACCAGAUACUGUCACUUGGAACUCGUUCAUGGACUCCCUCUGCAAGCAUGGAAGAACCAAAGAAGCUGCAGAAGUUUUCUUUUCCAUGGCUGGAAAGGGCAGCAAGCCUAAUAUUGUCUCCUACACUAUUCUUCUUCAUGGGUAUGCCAAUGAAGGAAGCUUUGCUGAUAUGAUGAGUCUCUUCAAUUCAAUGAAAGGCGGCGGCAUUGUAGCCAACUGCAAAGUUUUCAACAUAUUAAUUGGUGCAUAUGCUAAACGAGGGCUGAUAGAUGAAGCUAUGCUCAUACUUACUGAAAUGCGGGGACAAGGACUGAGUCCGGAUGUAGUCACCUAUUCAACUCUAAUAUCUGCACAUUGAAGAAUGGGUAAGCUGACUGAUGCCAUGGAUAAGUUCAGUCAGAUGGUUGUUGGUACGGGAGUACAGCCGGACACAGUUGUUUAUCACUCCCUAGUUCAGUUCUUAUGUACACAUGGUGAUUUGGUGAAAGCGAAGGAGUUGAUUUCUGAAAUGAUGAAUAAAAGUAUUGCUCGUCCAAACACUGCACUCUUUAGUUCAAUAAUGGACAGUCUAUGCAAUGAAGGAAGGGUUAUAGAUGCACACCAUAUCUUUGACUUGGUUAUAGACAUAGGUGAGAAACCUGAUAUCAGUAUGUUUAGUACGCUGAUUGACGGAUAUUGCUUAGUCGGCGAGAUGGACAAAGCAUGUGGAGUACUUGAUGCCAUGGUAUCAGCUGGCAUUGAGCCUAAUGUCAUUACGUAUAGCACACUUGUCAGUAGAUAUUGUAAACGUGGAAGGAUCGAUGAUGGGUUGAUUCUGUUCAGACAAAUGUUGCAUAAGAAAGUUAAACCUACAACUGUUACAUAUGAAACCACACUGAAUGGAUUAUUUCGUGCUGGGAGAACUGCUGAUGCGAAGAAAAUCUUCGAUGAGAUGAUCGAAAGUGGAAUAAUGGCGAGCAUUUCUACAUAUAAUAUAAUUCUUGGAGGACUUUGUAGAAAUAAUUGCGCAGAUGAAGCGGUCGUCCUAUUCCAGAAAUUACGUGCAAUGAAUGUGAAGUUCAAUAUCACAACACUCAAUACCAUCAUUAAUGCAUUGUACAAGGUUGAAAGAAGAGAAGAAGCUAAUGAUUUGUUUGCUGCAUUACCAGUCAGCGGGUUGGUGCCUAAUGCUUCCACUUACGGAGUGAUGGUACAAAAUCUUCUAAAAGAAGGAGCAGUGGAGGAAGCUGACAGUAUGUUCUCAUCAAUGGAGAAGAGUGGUUGUGCUCCUAGCUCUCGUCUUGUAAAUGAUGUCAUCAGAACUUUAUUGGAAAAGGGGGAGAUAGUCAAGGCCGGAAAAUAUAUGUCUAAAGUUGAUGGGAAGAGCAUCUCACUUGAAGCUUCAACUAGUUCGUUGUUGUUGUCUCUCUUUUCAGGGAAUGGGAAAUAUCGGGAACAACUACAAUUGCUCCCUGCAAAGUACCAAUUUUUCGAUGGAAUCAGUUGAUGCGCUGGACUUGGCAGAUAAGCCUUGUCAUGGUUCACAUCUCCCUCUCAACGAUGUAGACAAGUCUCUUCUGUGUGCCUGCCAAUAUUGAGCUGGGUGACGGUGCCACCGUGGUGUUCUUGUCGGUGCUUAGCUGUUGGGUGUGCAUCCUAUGGUCAUUGUCCCUGAUCUGCAGGCCACCUCCACAAUGGCGGUCUGGUCCAUGACGCAUUUGCUAAUGGUGAAAAGAUUACUAAUAUUUGGGAGCAUAUGCACAUCACGGCGGAUUUCAUCCCUGAGUUAAUAGAGGUGAAUUAACAGUGUUUGCAUUUUUGGACAUGUAUGACCAUUGACAGCUCAAUGCUGUCUCUUUCUAAACUACAGUCUACAGUAACAAAUUACCUCAGGACCUCAAAGCUAUCUUAUAAAAAAUUAAAAUUAUCAUUUUAUCAGUUGAUUUUUUAUUUAUUGUUAAACAAUAUGUGUGUGACUUAUUCGAACAUGGAAUGAAUGCCUAAUCUUGGGUUCAGUUCCUUCUGUUUUUUAAGCUUGAAUUACUAAAUAUCUCAAUCCAAAAGUUCAUGGGUGCAACGCAUUGGAAUUUGUUCUAUCAUACUUAAACAUCUGUUUGUAAGUGCUUCAUGUUACUUCGCAUUUCCAGGGAUGUAUCUCACCACAAUCUUUCAGGGUCAGUACCUGAUUUUCUGAAUCCAAUGCCAUCACGUACAUUUAUGUUGUGACAAUCCUGACCUGACUUCGUUUUCCCAAACUGUGCAGCACGAAACCUUUAAAUCUUUUAUUUCUUCAUCUGUCAAGUUGAUUCCUCAAGAAAACAUCAGUUGAUGAAUCAGGGCUGGUUGCUGAAGCUAAGGUUUGCACCCUUUUUUACAACAUCAUGGAUGCUUUGAUGGAGGCAAUGGAUAGCAUUAAAUGACUAGUUUUGGGGGGAAUUUGUCGUAUCGAUACGGUGUGCCAACCGACAUGGGUUGCACCCAAUUAUAUCUUUAAGGUCUUACAAAAUUGUAUCAUGCAUUCUCAAUUUUUGUUUAGGAAUAAUUGCCAAGUUUGGUCCUACUUAUCUACUGCAAGAUUUUUAUGUUUACUGACUUAAUUUGUUUAAUUGUGCCUGACCAUCUCUUUAUGACCAGAACAUUCAGAGAGAAACCAUGGGAGCACAUCUUAAAUCGUAAGAAUAAGAUACUCAAAAUACAAGGUAGCAGCUUCAUGAAAUUCCAUAUUUGCUCCUGAGCUCAAAUUCGAUUUCCAUCAUCCAUUCAUUGCAUUUUACAAGUUGACUGACUAUUUCCGAGCCCAGGCUGCAUUCACGUACCAUUGGGCGCAUUUUAGAAGACAAUCAAACAAGUAUAGUGCGUUUUUCUGAGAGUAUCAUCUGUUCGUCUGAGAGCAAGGCUGGUGUUCUUGGCAUCUAUUUCUCCUGUUUUUUUUGUUUCAUUUGAGUUUUAGCGCCCUUGGCCCCAUCCUUUUUAUAUGCUGAUAAAUUGCGGUGGCUUAAUCCAGUGUCUCCAUUUGGCAGCAUAUAUCCGUGUUUGACAACCCUGCGGAGAGAAUCCUUUGCAGUUGCCAUCCUUAUUUUUUACCUUUCUUUCCCAAUAACUAGUAUAAAAAACUUUUUGUGGGAACAAUAACUAGCAUUGUUUGGUUUAUUGCAGCAUUGAUCAAUUAUAACAAUGAAAGAUCAUAUCUACAUGCAAAUUUUGAGGGUACACGAGCCUCUUUGCCGACCCCUCAAAUGUACUGUAGCAAAUAUCUCUGCAUCAUGUGUUUUACGCUUUGCUCCACAGGUGACUAUCCGGCCAAUGGUGCUUGGAACUUGGACGAACCGGAAGAAGAGCAAAUUUGCCAAGGGAUAUGCAUGAGAAUCGGCGAUGCCAUCUGGACGAUCAAGUCCUUUCGGUCGCUCUAAAAUGGAGCCCGUGCUUGGGGCUCAAGGAUUCAGCGAGACGAUGGGGUCUGCCAAGGGGGAGCCGACGUCUACUCUCGGCCAGCGGCAAGCUGACUCUCAACAGUGCCAUCUUCACUUUGCUGCCCCCGGCCUCACUUCUGCCUAUUUAAAGUUGAGCAUAAUUCCUCGUCUGCUCAGCUCAUUUUGACCGGUGGCCUGGCCUGACCAAGCACUGCACAAGGCGCCCCGACUGACACUCGGCGAAGCUCUGGAGAAGGACAAAUUGGAUGAGGUUCGAGCCUCACCUGUCAGUUUGAAGGAACGCUGCGUACCGACGACAAGAGCUCGAUUCGGUCGGUGAAGGCCGGUCCUCGAACAGAACAGAUAUGUUGGCGUGGUUGGGUGAAACUGCUUGGCCAAAGAUAAUUUGGCGAUGUCCAACACGCCCCCUGUGCAGCCUCUGUGGCCGGGAUGAGCCAACUCGACCGGAUAUUCAAGCCCCCCUUGAUACAUCUAUCUAUCUAGCUGGCCGUUUAUACCGGUACCCAGCACCGUGUUGUCUUUCUUGUUUUGAACAAAGUUUUAGCUUGCUGUUUAUACUGGUAUCCAGCGCCAGGUCUUCUUGAUGAAUGAAAUACAUCACUACCCUGUUGUUUCGUCAAAAAUUAAUGAACUCCGUGUCAGUUUAUCACACAACGUACUCCCUCCGUUCUGAAUUACUUGUCGUAGGUAUGGAUGUAUCUAGAUGUAUUUUAGUUUUAGAUACAUCCAUUUCUGCGACGAGUAAUUUGAAACGGAGGGAGUAAGUGCGGAAUUUAUUUACGUAUAGAACAAGCCGAGGAAGGAGAUGAAGAAAAAGAAUGCAGAACGUAGGACUCCGGCGCAGUGUAAGUACUCCGGUGCGCGUUUUCUGUCACCGCAAACGUGCUUUCACAUCCCAGAGAAGCCGAUCCGCCAUCACUCGGGUCUCGGGGCAGUGAAAAAGAAAAAGGGAAAUUCUUCAAAGUUCAAAAGUAUAUGUGGUUAGCGGCGCCACAUUUGUCAUUAGAGCAAAUCAUCGCAUCCGCUGCUUUAAGCUGAUUGGCCGCCGGCAUCCUGAUGAGCUUAUCCUGCCCAAAGAGAAUACACAAAUCAUCAAAGAGAAAGAAAGGUGGUGAGCAAAGGAUGAAAAGUGGAUGCAUUAUGCACUUUCCAUUUGCCACUGAUCCGGGCAACAAGACGACUGGCUAGGACCCUCCUUCCAUCUUUUCUACCUGCAUGCAAAGUGAUAAUGGUUGUGUCGUAUAUUAUGGCUAUAAAGCAAAGCAGGCCUGCUUCGUGCACUCUGAUGUAAGGAGGAGAAGAAGAAAGGAAGGGCCAUGGUCGUCCAGAAAGCCGGAAUCCGGAUGCCCGGACCUAUCUCCUGUGUUUAUGUGUUUUUGCUUCAUGAUUAAGCAUCCGGGCAGCGGCCAUAAUUCCGAUGCUUUUGGGCAAUGGAGAAUCGAUGCCAAACAUGGAAAUCUGUGGGAGGUUUUAUUCUUAUUCCAGCAAAUAAGAAAACAGACAGAUAUAUGCUUCUCUCAAAUAUAUAGGACUAUAUCCUUGUUUAUUGGUAUUAUAAGGCAUGAUGCUCUUCAAUUCUUAUCCUGUGGACUGGCUGAGCUUUGAUGAAUGUGAAAAAAAUGAAAAUGGCAGUGCUUCCUACCAUUUUACUGUAAAAUGGUAUUUUUUGCAAGAAAGAAAGAAAUAGACUGCUAAGGCGGAAAACACGGCGACGGGUUGAAAUCAAACACGUAGCGCGAAAAAAGCGAAAGCUUGAACCGAAACAAAUUAAACAAAUAAAGGCGAAAACCACCACGGCAUUAUUAAAGAACGGCCUCCACAAAGGCAAAGCCAAAGCCAAAGCCAGCAUUAGAAUACCCACAAGUACGCCGCAUUGCAGGGACACACACAUACACGCACAGUCACCAGGAUGCAAAAGUAGUUCCUCCAAGGCAACAAGAAAGGCAAGGCUUGCUUUGCACCAGGCCGCUCCAGGACACACUACCACCAUCCCAAUCAGUAGAAGAGAGAGUGAGAGUGAGUGAGACAAGCCAAAUCAAAUUAAGGGCAACAACAAGAGCCAAGAACACCGUAGCUAGCUAUCCAUAUCAUAUAAACCAAACCAAAGGCCAACAGCAGCAGUGCACAUAAGAACAGAGCAGGAGCAGGAGAAGGAGCAGGAAGAACCUGAGCAGGAGCAAGAUGAACGGCAUGUACUACCCUCAGCGUUUCAGCAACAUGAUGAUCGGCUACCUCAACCUGGCCACGCUCCUGGCCUCCAUCCCGGUCAUCGGGGCGGGGCUCUGGCUGGCCAAGGGCUCGACGACGACGUGCUCCUCCAUGCUGCAGACGCCGCUGCUCAUCAUCGGCUUCAUCGUGCUCCUCAUCUCCCUCGCGGGCUUCGUGGGCGCCUGCUUCCACGUCGCAUGGGCGCUGUGGCUCUACCUCUUCGCCGUGAUACUCCUCAUCGGCAUGCUGCUCGGGCUCACCAUGUUCGGGUUCGCCGUCACGGCGGGGGGCGGCGGCACGCAGGUGCAGGGCAGGCCGUACAGGGAGUACCACAUCUCGGACUACUCCUCGUGGCUCCAGAAGCAUAUGCAGGACAUCAAGUACUGGAAGCCCGCGCUGGCCUGCGUCGUCGGGUCCAAGGCAUGCCCCAAGAUCGCCAACUGGACUCCCAUGGAUUACCUCCAGCAUGAUCUCACGCCAAUACAGGUUUGCAGUUCAGCCACCGGUCCAUUUUCUUCCAUGUUUGCUCCUCUUGCUAUUUGUCACCACUGCUUUCAGCACUUGUAGUUGUAGUACCACAGAAUUGAUGAUCUGAACUAUAGCCAGCACAAACAUAACAGAUUGUCAAAGAAAUGGUAACAUAAAAAAUAGCUAAACAAUUUAUUGAUCCAGUUCACCAGUUGCAUCUAUGUAAAUUUAAAUAUCUCAAGCACAGGUUUAUGUUCAUUGUCUAUUUGGACAAAAACAUCAAAUUUAUUGACCACCAAGAUUCAAAACCCAGUAAAGAGUGUGACCCCAGGACAAAGUUUGAACCCAUUUUCAGAUAAACUAAACAAACUAGGUCUACUAAAUCUCUAGCCCAGAGCAUCUUCAGUGCUCCUGCACCUCUGCUACUUUAGUACAAGUUGUAGUUCUAACUAAUAGCUUUGCUGCUAAAAUUACUAAUGGAACUAUGCGCUAUCAUGCAGUCUGGGUGCUGCAAGCCACCAACAUCAUGCACAUACAGCGGGGGGAUGCCGGUCGGAGCGCAGGACGAGGACUGCUACCAGUGGAACAAUGCCCCAAACAUCCUGUGCUACCAGUGUAACUCGUGCAAGGCCGGCGUGAUGGAGCAGGUGCGCCAGGACUGGCACAAGAUCUCCGUGCUAAACGUCAUCGUGCUCGUCUUCCUCAUCUGCAUCUGCGCCUGCGGGUGCUGCGCCUUCAGAAACGCCCGCCGCUCCGUCUCCGAGUACCCAUACGGGGUAAACCGCAUGUCCAAGAUCAAUCCACGCUGGGACUACUACUGGUACUUUCAGCCAAAAAUAAAAAACAAAAUAAAAUUGUCACACCAUUUCUGUUUGAUUGCUGCUUUUCACUGGCAUUUGUUUUCUCUUCAGAUGUUUGGUUUCAGCCCCCAAAAUGCAUUUCCACAGUCUCAUGAUUAANNNNNNNNNNNNNNNNNNNNNNNNNNNNNNNNNNNNNNNNNNNNNNNNNNNNNNNNNNNNNNNNNNNNNNNNNNNNNNNNNNNNNNNNNNNNNNNNNNNNNNNNNNNNNNNNNNNNNNNNNNNNNNNNNNNNNNNNNNNNNNNNNNNNNNNNNNNNNNNNNNNNNNNNNNNNNNNNNNNNNNNNNNNNNNNNNNNNNNNNNNNNNNNNNNNNNNNNNNNNNNNNNNNNNNNNNNNNNNNNNNNNNNNNNNNNNNNNNNNNNNNNNNNNNNNNNNNNNNNNNNNNNNNNNNNNNNNNNNNNNNNNNNNNNNNNNNNNNNNNNNNNNNNNNNNNNNNNNNNNNNNNNNNNNNNNNNNNNNNNNNNNNNNNNNNNNNNNNNNNNNNNNNNNNNNNNCACACAUAAAAAAAGUAAUGAUGACACUGGCAAUAUAACGCAAUUUCAGUUUGUGGCCAUCUAUUUGCUGUGACUUUUCUAACACCGCUUUAUGUUUUUUCCUACAGGUGGCGAUGGUUCCGCGAUAGGAGGGAACAAACGUACUAGGCUAGCUAUUGGAACUCAACUCAUGUAUAAUAUUUUCUUGAUGGUAAAUGGCCGAGGGGUUGGGUCAGUUCUUCAUAGCACUCUGGUAGUGGCCAAUAAUUAAUCUUCUGUAGAUAAUCAGUAUGAGGAAAGUACAAGAUGGUGAAGUGGAAAGCAUGUGUAGUUUAUCCAGUAUUGGUAGAAGAAUGCUUUGCAUUUUGUAGCAUAUUUAGUUAGAGAAUUCAGAAGAGAAGAGACUUCAUGUCUAUGGUGGGAAAUCCAGUCAGCUAUAUAUAUGACCAUAUCAGCACAUGUACUGUUGGUGUGACUUCUAUUUGCCAUGUUUUGGUCAUGCCCACCUUCUGAUAUGAUAUCAGUAGACCCAUAGACUGCAGCUAAAUCUAAGACAGGCUCUCCAUCUUUAACACUCGUGGCAUGGACCGUCUUAUUUUGAAUUGAUUUGAAAGCACUUUAGAUAGUGGAUACAGCUCAGCGAUAUUUCAGAAAGAACUAAGUUCUAACUCAAGGGAAAAUAUAAUAAUGAGAUGACAAACAAAUGAGAAAAAUCAAACAAUUUUAUUAUCACAAAAAGUGCAGUGAUCAUCUACAAUCAGUAUUGGUUACAACAGCAUAUAUUCCCAUUAACCUUUCUCCACUAUGGUAGCCAAAGUGUAUUACAUUUCUUUUAGUACAUAUCUAGUUGGUGAGUUUGAAAGAGAAGUGAUGUCAUGUCUAUGGAGUAAAAUCCACAGAGAGUCAGCUAUAUGACUAUAUCAGCACAUGUACUGUUGGUCUGACUUCUAUAGUUGUCAUGUUUUGGCCUGUCUACCUUGUGAUAUGAUUACCCCUAAACUGAGGCUCUAAACCUAAGACAGGCUCUCCAACUUCAGAACCCAUGGACCAUGGUAUUUUUGACGUGGUUGUCUGGUAAGGAAACACUUUACAGCUCAGCAAUAGUUCAGAAGGCGCUUCUAGUUCAAGGCAGAAUAAUGUAACGAUAAGACAAACAACUGAUAAGAACUAAAUAACAGUAUCACAAGCAAUGUGCAGUGACCAUGUAUGAUUAGCAUUGGUCAGAAUAGAAUAUAUUCUCAUCGACCUUUUUCACAGAAAACUUGAUGCCCGAUAGACGGCCCAGCAACUUCCCCGAUAAGAAUAAUACUAGACGGAAUCUCAAAAGGUGCCAAGUGAUUACUGGAUUGCAGGUGUUCUGAGGUUUGGGACAAUCUGUCUCUAGGAAGCAAAGCAUCUAGCGUCCCGUGUCAGCUAUGACUGUCUAACAAGAUGCUGAUUCAAUGCAAAUUCUAGAACAUAACACAAGCAACUACAACAACAAAGACAGCUUGAAAUGGACUCACCUUGCAACUCAUGUAGCUCCAGAACAGGUAANNNNNNNNNNNNNNNNNNNNNNNNNNNNNNNNNNNNNNNNNNNNNNNNNNNNNNNNNNNNNNNNNNNNNNNNNNNNNNNNNNNNNNNNNNNNNNNNNNNNNNNNNNNNNNNNNNNNNNNNNNNNNNNNNNNNNNNNNNNNNNNNNNNNNNNNNNNNNNNNNNNNNNNNNNNNNNNNNNNNNNNNNNNNNNNNNNNNNNNNNNNNNNNNNNNNNNNNNNNUUGUUUCUGCAAGGAGCAUUCCUGCAGCAGAGGAGGUUAAACCCUGCAACGGACAGGGAUCAUUGUGCAUCCACUGCAAUUUGCAUGCUUGAACCACAAUUGCCAGGCAACUAAAUCUGGAGAAAUGGGGUCAGAGUGCUCAGGACAGGGGGCAUGGGCCAUCAGGAAGAGCAGGGCUGGAGUAGAUGUCCGAUAAAAGAUCAUGGCAGACUGGAAGCAAUGAAAGAACAACCUGCAUCUAAUUUAUAGAUGCUUCUCUAGAACUGUGACUGUGACUUUUAUCCACUAUUCUGCAACAUAACAACAUAAACUGCUCCUCCAAGACAUCAGAACUGAUGGGGUGGAAUGCAAAGGGAGGCAAGGAACAUGAGCAGUAGAUCAAUAACAAUCACUUGUAGUUCCAAUACUGACUCCGUACAAACUUCUCUGCCAUAAAUGUGACAGAAGGUUGCACUCAUUUGUCAUUUCUGAUUACCAGCACACAACUAAGAUCAUUUGGUUUAUUCUAAAUACAACACAGAAUCAAUAUUUCAUUACAUUUAAGACAAAUUUGAGAACAUCAUAUCAAAACAAAAUCUGCCAUUUUGGGAUGGCUGUUGAGAGGAGGGGUACAGCCAAAGUUUCACCGAGAAGGGUUGUGGCAUUGUUGGCAACUGUAGCACAGAAAAAAAGAGACGAAACGGAGCAGCAGAAACGAGUUAGACGCCUUGCCGUUUCCAGAGGAGCUCCUCA